UGAUCAGUGCGGUCUUCAGCAAUGACAUCAUGGAAACCAACAUUCUGUAGCAUCUGCAUAGUUUUGAUGUAUACAAGUUAAUGGAGAUCAACAUUUUCUUACACAAACAGCACUAACAAUAUAUCAUCGCAAUUAAGUGGCACCUGUCCAUAAGCCUCUACAUUAUGAAGGUUGUAACCCCUCUGCUUAAUGUAUGCCGCAAACUCUUCAGAUGGUUUCCUGGACUCCUACAGUAAUCACUGAUUAGGACCUUACCCCCCGGUUUUAGCCAUUUGAAGAAACUUCUAAACAAAGUGGGUUUAUCCUGCAAAUACAAAAGCAGCACUAGUCAUAAAACUGUUAUUCUGGCACCAAAUAAGGAAUGACAUAGAGAGUAAUUGUUGGGGAACGUAACAUGCAAUUACAAAAAAAUUCCUACAAUCACGCAAGAUCUAUUUAGGUGAUGCAUAGCAACGAGAGGGAGAGAGUGUGUCCACGUACCAUCGUAGACCGAAAGUGGAAGCGUUAGGUUAACGCGGUUGAUGUAGUCGAACGUCUUCGCGAUCCAACCGAUCAAGUACCGAACGUACGGCACCUCCGAGUUCAGCACACGUUCAGCUCGAUGACGUCCCUCGAACUCUUGAUCCAGCAAAGUGUCGAGGGAGAGUUUCGUCGGCACGACGGCGUGGUGACGGUGAUGGUGAUGUGUUCCGCACAGGGCUUCGCCUAAGCACUACGUGAAUAUGACCGGAGGAGUAAACCGUGGAGGGAGACGCCGCACACGGCUUGGAACAAUUGGCGUGUCUCCAAGGGGUGCCCUGCCCACGUAUAUAAAGGAGGGAGAGGGAGGAGACCGGCCCUAGGGGGCGUGCCAAGUGGGGGAGUCCUACUAGGAUCCCGGUCCUCGUAGGGUUCGCCCCCCACCCCCCUCUUAUUCCUUCUCAUGGAGGGGGGAAGGGGGAAAGAGAGGGAGCACGAGAAGGAAAGGGGGGCGCUGCCCCCUCCCCUAGUCCAAUUCGGACUCCCAUGGGGGGCGUGGCCACCCCUUGUGGGCUGCCUCCUCUCUCUCCUAUGGCCCAUAGUGGCCCAUUACUUUCCCCGGGGGGUUCCGGUAACCUCCCGGUACUUCGAAAAAUACCCAAAACGAUCCGAAAGCGUUCCGGUGUCCGAAUACUAUCGUUCAAUAUAUCAAUAUUUACCUCUCGACCAUUUCGAGACUCCUCGUCAUGUCUGUGAUCUCAUUCGGGACUCCGAACAAUCUUCGGCCACCAAAACACAUAACUCAUAAUACAAAUCAUCAUCGAAUGUUAAGCGUGCGGACCGUACGGGUUCGAGAAAUAUGUAGACAUGACCGAGACAUAUCUCCGGUCAAUAACCAACAGCGGAACCUGGAUGCUCAUAUUGGUUCCUACAUAUUCUACGAAGAUCUUUAUCGGUCAAACCGCAAUGACAAUAUACGUUACUCCCUUUGUCAUCGGUAUGUUACUUGCCCAAAAUUGUAUCGUCGGUAUCCUUAUACCUAGUUCAAUCUCGUUACCAGCAAGUCUCUUUACUCGUUCCAUAAUGCAUCAUCUCGCAACUAACUCAUUAGUUACAUUGCUUGUAAGGCUUAUCGUGAUGUGCAUUACCGAAAGAGCCCAGAGAUACCUCUCCGAUACUCGGAGUGACAAAUCCUAAUCUCGAUCUAUGCCAACCCAACAAAUUAACACCUUCGGAGACACCUGUAGAGCAUCUUUAUAAUCACCCAGUUACGUUGUGAUGUUUGAUAGCACACAAGGUAUUCCUCUGGUAUUCGGGAGUUGCAUAAUCUCAUAGUCAAAGGAAUAUGUAUAAGUCAUGAAGAAACCAAUAACAAUAAAACUUAAUGAUCAUUAUGCUAAGCUAACGGAUGGGUCUAGUCCAUCACAUCAUUCUCUAAUGAUGUGAUCCCGUUCAUCAAAUGGCAACACAUGUCUAUGGUCAGGAAACUUAACCAUCUUUGAUUAACAAGCUAGUCAAGUAGAGGCAUACUAGGGACACUCUGUUUUGUCUAUGUAUUCACACAUGUAUCAAGUUUACGGUUAAUACAAUUCUAGCAUGAAUAAUAAACAUUUAUCAUGAUAUAAGGAAAUAUAAAUAACAACUUUAUUAUUGCCUCUAGGGCAUAUUUCCUUUAGUAAUCACCAAUUGUAGAUGCAAACACAUCAAAUUUUUUGUAGAUGCAAAACUAAGCAUGAUUGUUUUUACAUUUAUCCUACCAAGAUUCGCACUAGCCCAAGAUGGUAUCCAUACUUCAAGGUGAGCACUUGAUAUGUUGUUGUAGUUCAUGCCUUAAUAUGUUGUUAUUGUUCUGUAGUAGACUAACAACAUAUUGUAAUGCCAUUCCAGGAUUGCAUUGGAGCAAUAGAUGGUACUCAUGUCACUGCCAGAGUGCCAAGGUCACAAGCUGCAGCAUAUAGAGAUAGGAAGCACUACAUAACCCAGAAUGUGCUAGCUGUUGUUGACUUUGAUCUGAAGUUCACAUAUGUGUUGGCUGACUGGGAAGGAUCGGUACAUGAUUCUAACAUUCUCAGUGACAGCAUGAGUCAUCGUGAUGGCAUCAACAUCCCCGAUGGCAAGUUCUACCUUGGAGAUGUUGUUUAUGCAUGUCGGCCAGGUGUUCUUCCACCCUUCAGGAAAACCAGGUACCAUUUGAACGAGUUUCCUGGUAGGGACUAUCCUAGGACUCCUCAUGGACUGUUCAAUCUCUGACACUCAAGCCUUAGAGUGACUCAUCAACUCAUCAUUGCAGGAUUCAGUUGUGAAUGAUGCAACAUCCAAGAACAAGCUUCACCUGGGUAGGGUAAGGGUGGAAUGGCUUCUGAUCCAAGAUCUUAAACCUGUUCUUCAAAGCUCCAAAGGCCCUCUCAACUCCGGCCAUGGUAUGCAGGUGUUCGACAAUGAAGUGUGGAAGAACAAAAGGUUGGAGUGGGCUCAGGCAAUGUGGGAUAACAGAGGUCAGACAAGGAUCUAAAACAGAAGAACAAGAGGAAGAAGAAGAAAGAGGCAGCAGCAGAAGCGAGGAAGAGGAAGCAACACAUCAGUAGCAGAGAAAGAGGAAGAGGAUGAACUUGCACCUAGUUAGCAUCAUUGAACUUUACUUAUUCCGCCAUGUUGGCUCUUAAUAACUUGUAUUUUUAUUUGCUAGUAGCUAGGAUAAACUGCCAUUUGUUUUCUAGCUAGGACGAAACAAUGUUCAGUGUCUGUGGUAAGAUCACCACUAGUGAGAAGUGGUGAUCACAUUUUUAGCCGUUUGCAACCAAACAACGUGUUGUUUGUUUAACAACAGCGACACGGGCACCCAAACAGCGUGCUGACUAGUUGAUUCCCUCAUGCAGAAAGUCUAAUGCAGGCAACCAAACUACAUGCAGAUAUUGGUUUUUAGCCUGCAUUUAACCAGAUGUUGAUUUUUAGCCUGCACUUGCCCAAUGAAGAUAAAUGGGUCUUGACUAAUGUUUAUGGACCCUGUCAGCAACAAGAGAGAAUUAACUUUCUCACUUGGUUUCAAGAUUUCCAUAUGCCAGAUGACACUGAUUGGAUUAUUGUGGGGGGUUUCAACUAUGUUAGAUACCCACACAACAGGAGCAGAGAAGGUGGCAACAUCAAUGAUAUGAUUCUUUUUAAUGAGGCUAUUAACAAGUAGGCCUUAAUUGAGAUUCCACUCAAGGGCAGAAAAUUUACUUGGAGAAAUAUGCAAGAGGCUCCAUUACUUGGAAAGCUUGAUUGGUGCUUCACAUCUGAAUCUUGGACACUCAAAUAUCCAGCUACAUUUGCUCUACCACUAGCCAAUACCACCUCAGAUCAUGUUCCAAUCAAAAUCCAAAUUGGCUCCUCUGUCCCUAGAUCAAACAUCUUCAAAUUUGAGAAUUACUGGUUGGAACACCACCAGUUCAAAGAUGUGGUUAAGAAUAUUUGGUCCCAACAACUUGAUGAACUAGACAGUGCAAAAGCUAUUGUGUAACGCCCAUGAUGUGGCUAUAUCUCCCACGUGUCGAAGCACGACUUAGAGGCAUAACCGCAUUGUAAGCAAUGUCGCAAGUGGGGUAAUCUUCACACAACCCAUGUACUAAAUAAGAAAAGAGGUACAUAGUUGGCUUACAAUCGCCACGUCACACAACGCAUAAAAAUAACAUUACAUUCAUCCAGAUACAAUCAAGGUCCGACUACGGAAUCAAAAUAAAGACAACCCCAAAUGCAUAAAGUCCCCGAUCGCCCCAAUUGGGCACUACUACUGAUCAUCUGGAAAGGAAACAUAGUAUCGUUCUGAGUCCUCAUCGAACUCCCACUUAAGCUCAGUCGCAUCUCCUGGAAUGGAAUCAUCGGUCCCUGCAUCUGGUUUUGGAAGUAUCUGUGAGUCACGGGGACUCAGCAAUCUCACACCCUCGCGAUCAAGACUAUUUAAGCUUAUAGGUAGGGUAAAAGGUAUGAGGCGGAGCUGCAGCAAGCACUAGCAUAUAUGGUGGCUAGCAUACGCAGAUGAGAGCGAGAAGAGAAGGAAAAGGCACGGUCGAGAAACUAUGAUCAAUAAGUGAUCCUAGAACAACCUACGAUCAAGCAUAACAGGAGACCGUGUCUCUUCCGGGACUCCGCCGAAAAGAGACCAUCACAGCAACACACUUUGUUGCUUCAUUUUAAUUAAGUUAAGUUUCAGGUUUUCUACAACCGGACAUUAACAAAUUCCCAUCUGCCCAUAACCGCGGGCACGGCUUUCGAAAGUUCAAAACCCUGCAGGGGUGUCCCAACUUAGCCCAUCACAAGCUCUCACGGUCAACGAAGGAUAUUCCUUCUCCCAAGACAACCCGACCAGACUCAGAAUCCCGGUUACAAGACAUCUCGAUAAUGGUAAAACUAAACCAGCAAAGCCGCCCGAAUGUGCCGACAAAUCCCGAUAGGAGCUGCACAUAUCUCGUUCUCAGGGCACACUCGGAUGAGACAUCCUACGAGUAAAACCAACCCUCAAGUUGCCCCGAGGUGGCCCCGCAGUCUACUCGGUGCGGACCAACACUCAGAGGAGCACUGGCCUGGGGGGGUUUAAAAUAAAGAUGACCCUUGAGUCCGCGGAACCCAAGGGAAAAAGAGGCUAGGUGGUGAAUGGUAAAAGCAAGGUUGGGCUUUGCUGGAGGAGUUUUAUUCAAGGUGAACUGUCAAGGGGUUCCCAUUAUAACCCAACCGUGUAAGGAACGCAAAAUCAAGGAACAUAACACCGAUAUGACGGAAACUAGGGCGGCAAGAGUGGAACAAAACACCAGGCAUAAGGUCGAGCCUUCCACCCUUUACCAAGUGUAUAGAUGCAUUAAAAUAGACAAGAUAUAAUAGUGAUAUCCCAACAAUAAACAUGUUGCAACAAGGAACAAACUCCAAUCUUCACCUGUAACUAGCAACGCUAUAAGAGGGGCUGAGCAAAGCGGUAACAUAGCCAAACAACUAUUUUCUAGGACAAGGUAGGUUAGAGGUUUGACAUGGCGAUAAGGGAGGCAUGAUAAGCAAGUGGUAGGUAUCGUAGCAUAGGCAUAGCAAAAGAGUGAGCAUCUAGCAAGCAAAGAUAGAAGUGAUUUCGAGGGUAUGGUCAUCUUGCCUGCAAAGUUCUCCGAGUUGACGUAAGCUUGAUGUAAGAAUUUAAAAAGAAUGAAUAAAACAUGAAGAAACACCGGGAAGGAUUAGCAAAUAAACGAAGAUGCUUGAGAGAAUUUAGAUCCAUGAGAACGAAGAGAUUACGAGCUGAUUAGAGAAUAUUGAAUGAUGCACCGGUAAGAUUGAGAUAAAUAGAGCUGAAAGCUGAGAAUGAAUAGGUCUUAUGAAAUGAUGGGCUUCGGAGAAUCAAACAGAAAAGACUCCUGAAUUGCUCCGAUAGGUGGAAAAAAAAUCUCACAAUCGAAAACAAUUAUGAGAGGAAGGCAUCAAGUUAGAACCAUGGAUCCUUGAGAAAACGGAUAAAAUAUGGAGGAAAACUCUUCUUCGGUCUUCAAAUGUUGAUAAAAGACGACGAGAAACACCACCAUCAAUUGUUUAGACACUCCGGAAGAAUCAAAACAAAGAGGUUGAGCCAAUGAUGAAAAGAAUUCGACAGGUCUUGGGGAAAACAUAAGACUGAUGAUAAUUCAUUCUUACGUCAAACUUUAAAGAAUUUGAGGAUAGCUCCGGGAAAAUAAGAAGAGUCAGGUAAGUUCCUGGGAAAAGACCUGUGGGUUAGGGCCCACUCAAGAGAAACAACGUUGAAAUGAUAUAAAAGAGAGGUUGCACUGGUUGAAUUAAAUGGCUUGAAUGAGGUGACAUCCUCGAAAGAUCUUGAACGAAAGCAGAGUGGAAACACGAAUCUUCUGAGAUAUCUUCGGCACUCUGAAACAAAUGAAUAGCGAGGAGUAGAUGAUUAAGAGGUGCACUGGUAUGAGAAGGUAUUGAAAUGAGGAAAAUAUAUGAUCAACAAAGCUUGUAUUGGAUCCACCGGAGAUGGAAAGAAUGAAAAAUGAUGAACUAGUAGAACAUCUUCUUGAGAACCACCGGGUAAGAAUAUUGACGGAAAAGAAUGGAGAGACUUCACAUGAAUAAAAGGAUACUUGACUAAGACAUCUAAGUCCUUGAAGAAAAAGGGUGGGUGGGCGGGGAAACAAAGGCAACUUGGGGACGGAUGAAACAAACACCGUUGAGAAGAACUGAUAAUUGAUCUUGUGAAUGUUGACAAGAUUGGAUCCAUUUGAAGAGGAGCACACCGGUUGAAAAGAAAUUGAAAAGACAAACUCGAUGAUCGAGAAGGAUAAGUAUUCACAUAGAAAUAUGAGAACACCGCUUAGAAAAGGUAUGGAAUCAACACUUGACUUCGAAGCAACUCGAAUACCACAACUCAAAACAAAACAAAGUAUUGGCUUGCAGAAUAAGCCGGAACAAACAUAUGAUAGAGAUUUCGUCCGAAGUUUUCGUGGUGGGGCCUACACGGCCUCGAUCGUACAGCACCAUCAUGUACAAGGCAGUGCACAUGACAUACUAAGCGUCCCCGAGUCAGCAUAGCCAAGGACUCUUUAAGACACAACGAGACCAUUGUAAAACCAACCGUGAAUAGGCGGACCACUAGAUGUCGAACCCCAAUUUCAUAUCAUACAUCCGUCAGAAAGAUACCUACGAACUACUUGAAUUCCCACUUAUAAACUCCCGAAACUUUCCGGUUAUGCAAUCAGGUGUUGGGGAUACAGGGGAAGCAUAAUAUCUCACCCAAAACUAACAAAUCCUACAUCCAGUUGUAUCUAUCCUUCAACACAUAACCAAGAAACCUUCGGAAAUCAUCUACCUCAACCUUCGAAAAGCAUCCGUUAUACGAGUUAUGGCAAUACUCCCGAACUCCCGCCCCAGUACUGGGUGGCGUCGAGGUUAUCUCACCAACAACUGCAUAAAAGAGAUUUUCGAUGUCGGCGAAACUAAUCUCAGGUAUUCCAGAACUGCAACGAUAAAAUUGUGACGACAACACCUCGGAGCUCAACUCCCCGGGACACUGCCACAACCCCUAAAUGUCAGGAGGCACCAAGAACAAUGUUCUCGUCACAAAACCAUCGGAACGAUUCCAAGAUACCCGCGUGAUCCUAAUUUUUUUAGUGAAAUUUGAGAAGAGAAGAGUCAAAACUCUACGUCAGGAUGCCUCACCAGAGCGACGAAGGGACUGAGGAGUAAAAAGAAGUCCUAACUCUCCGAUAUAUAUAAUUCCUAAAUGACUCAAAACAUUUUUCUAGACUCAAUAGCGCCAGCUAUUCGAUCAAGCAGGGGGCUCCUAAGGUCGGGGAAGGCUCUGAUUACCAACUUGUAACGCCCUUGAUGCGGUUAUAUCUCCCACGUGUCGAAGCACGACUUAGAGGCAUAAGCGCAUUGAAAGCAAUGUCGCAAGUGAGGUAAUCUUCACACAACCCAUGUAAUACAUAAGGGAAAGAGAUACAUAGUUGGCUUACAAUCGCCACUGCACACAAAUACAUGAAUAAAACAUUACGUCAACCAGAUACAAUCAAGGUUCGACUACGGAACCAAAAUGAAAGAAGACUACCCCAAAAGCUACGCAGAUCCCCGAUCGUCCCGACUGGGCUCCACUACUGAUCAACUGGAAAUGGAACAACAUAAGCACAAGAUCUUCACCGAGCUCCUCCUUGAGCUUGGUUGCAUCACCUGUACGGUAUCAUCGGCACCUGCAAACUGGUUUUGGAAGUAUCUGUGAGUCACGGGGACUCAGCAAUCUCACACCCUCGCGAUCAAGACUAUUUAAGCUUAUGGGUAAGGUAAAAGGUAUGAGGUGGAGCUGCAGCAAGCGACUAGCAUAUAUGGUGGCUAACAUACGCAAAUGAGAGCGAGAAGAGAAGGCAAAGCACGGUCGAGAAACUAUGAUCAAGAAGUGAUCCUAGCACAACCUACGUCAAGCAUAACUCCAACACCGUGUUCACUUCCCGGACCCCGCCAAGAAGAGACCAUCACGGUAACACACGUGGUUGGUGCAUUUUAAUAAAGGUCAACUUCAGGUUCUCUACAACCGGACAUUAACAAAUUCCCAUCUGCCCAUAACCGCGGGCACGGCUUUCAAAAGUUCAUAACCCUGCAGGGGUGUCCCAACUUAGCCCAUCACAAGCUCUCACGGUCAACGAAGGAUAUUCCUUCUAGCGGGAAGACCCGAUCAGACUCGGAAUCCCGGUUACAAGACAUCCUCGACAAUGGUAAAACAAGUCCAGCAAGACCACCCAUUGUGCCGACAAUCCCGAUAGGAGCUGCACAUAUCUCGUUCUCAGGGCACACCGGAUAAGCUAAGCGUACGGGAGCCAAUGUAACCCAAGUUGCCAAGGGACGGCCCCGCACGGUGCUCUCGGUUGGACCAACACUUAGACAAGCACUGGCCCGGGGGUUUAAAAUAAAGAUGACCCUUGGGCUGGCCUAACCCAAGGGAAAAAGAGGCUAGGUGGCGAAUGGUAAAACCAAGGUUGGGCCUUGCUGGAGGAGUUUUAUUCAAAGCGAACUGUCAAGGGGUUCCCAUUAUAACCCAACCGCGUAAGGAACGCAAAACCCGGGAACAUAACACCGAUAUGACGGAAACUAGGGCGGCAAGAGUGGAACAAAACACCAGGCAUAAGGCCGAGCCUUCCACCCUUUACCAAGUAUAUAGAUGCAUUAAUUAAAUAAGAGAUAUUGUGAUAUCCCAACAAGUAAACAUAUCCCAACAAGGAACAACAUCUCCAUGUUCCAACAAGGAACAAACUUCAAUCUUCACCUGCAACUAACAACGCUAUAAGAGGGGUUGAGCAAAGCGGUAACAUAGCCAAACAACGGUUUGCUAGGAUAAGGUGGGAUAGAGGCUUGGCUUAACAAUAUGGGAGGCAUGAUAAGCAAGUGGUAGGUAUCGCAGCAUAGGCAUAGAAAAAGAGCGAGCAACUAGAAAGCAAAGAUAGAAGUGAUUUCGAGGGUAUGGUCAUCUUGCCUGAAAUCCCGCAAGGAAGAAGAACGAGUCCAUGAAGAAGACAAACGGACAUAGUCGAACGGGUCCUCACAAACGCGACGUUAUCGGAACCAACCCGAAGACGCAACACCGGAAAGAAGCACACAACAUAGUAAACAACCACCACAUAAACAUGGCAUGAUGCACAACCAAGUAUGAUGCAUGUCCGGUUUAAUGAGGCAUGGCAUGGCAAAGUGCACAAACAAUCCUACAAAUUAAGUGGAGCUCAUUAUGCAACGGAGUUGCAUAUUGACGAAACACCACGUUCCAUUAUUUAGUUCACUCUUGGUUAGGUACUCAACAAAUUUAAAUGGUGUUAAACAUGGCAAGAGGUGAGGCAAAAGAAAACUACACAUUUAAGCAAGUUUAAAUGAGGCCGGAAACAACAACAACAAUUCCGGUAAAUCCUCAUGUGCAUUAGUAAAUUAAUGCAAACAAUAAUUUUAAACAUUCAAAUGUUGUUAACAUGAUGCGGAUGACAUGUUCAAGUUUUAUGCAAGUUUUAUUAAAAGUUGACAUGAUAAGAGAUGAGGCAUUUGACAUCGUGGCGGAAACAAAAGGGGUGCCACGGCGACGAAACAGAAAUAAUGCCGCGGCAACAUUCCGAUGAUCUGGUAGCUCACGGGGAUACCGGUGCAAAAGAAAGUGGGUGUGAGCGAGUAAAACAAGAUGGUGGGGUGAUCCCGGUAACCGGGUUCCCACGGGUUAGCGGCAAACAAGGAGGGCCGAGCAAGCAGCGACUCGACCAUGGUGCAAACGUGGGCAUCUCAUAUAAUACAUCACAUGCAUAUGUUCCACGGGCAUCAUUCCGGCGGUUAUACCUUCCAAAGGUGCAUUUAUGGAGUGGUUCGAGUUCGACAAAGGAAGUAGGCGUUCUCGCGACGGUAGUGGUACACGGACGUCGUGGAAGUAGUUGUUCUCGCACGCUCUAGGGUCGAUGGUAGAGGUUCUCGUGACGGCGGUAGUGGUACAUGUUUAUCGUUGCACGAGUUUCCAUAGACGUUCAUGUCAUCGGUGUCGUGGUACUUUGGGUCUUCGGACUUUCCGGUCCCGUUCUUGCGACAGUAGUCGUUCACGUUCGUUCAGAGAGGUACUUGAUGACUCCAACGUCUUUGGGGCAACGGUAGUUGUACACGGUCCACGAGACGUCGAUCGUUCGGGGUCCGACUUGCGGGUCUUGUCGACAUGAGUGGUACUUGGCGUUUUUGUGUAGACGAACUUGGCGCAUCCGAAGGGGUACUUGACGCGUUCGAGGGUCGUCAUGUCAUGGUACUUGGCAAAUUCCUUGGAGAAGGUGCUUGACAGUCCGGGUACGGGUCUUGGCGUGUCGUUCUUGUCGAUCCAAAACCCGGCAAGACGAAAGGACCUCAGGCGGGCAGCAGCAAGGAGGCGAUGGCGCACACACUGGACAUGGGGCAGGGCGAGGAGAAGGCACACGGCUCGGUGACGAGGAGAACCAGCGGUUCCAGGGGGUGGAGGUGACGAUGCUGGGGCGUGGGAGGCCCCUACCAGCAUGGACAAGGCAAGGAGAAGGAGGCGUUGGCCUUGCCGAGGCCAGCAGCACGCCGCGUCGGGACAGGAGGCCGAAAAGUCUCAGGGAGGCGCAGCCAUGGCAGGGCCUAAUGGGUCCGGACGGGGGCGGUAUUUGGCGACGGAGGGCGACGCGAGGCAGAGGAGGAGCAAGGCGGCGGCAACUCAGAGCUCAGGGACGAGGCAUGGAGGUCGAGGUCGCCGGUGGAGUUUGCGAGGUGGCGCUCGGCGUCCCUGUCGAUGCGGCAGCGCGGAGAGCUCGGGACGACUCCCGCGGAGGAGCAGAGAGGAUCAGGUCGAGGGGAUGCAGCGAGAAAGGCCACGGCGACCGGAGGAGAAGGACGAGGGGACCGGGCUCGAGGGGAUCGGGCUCGGGCGCUGGGGAUCACUGGGAGAGAGUGAGGCUGCGAGGGAGAUGGGGGGUCAGGAAGAGCGCGGCUGACAGGAUCGAUGUGUGCGUGAGUCUCUGGCGGCGGUGAGGGAAAACAAGAGGAGAUCGAGCCAAGGCUCGCUAGGGCAAAAGGGGAUCGGGCACUACUGGGCCUGGUGCGGGAGAUGGGCGGCCCAGGUGUGGAUGGCCUAGGAGGUAGGCAGGGGCGCGACUAGGCCUAGGGAGGCCCAGUUGGGCUCUCCGCUUUCUCUCACUCUUUCCCACCUUUUUCCAUUUAAAAUAAAAUAGAAAAAGAGAAAGAAAAGAAAGAGAAGGUAGGGGAGGACUCUCGGCAUGGGGAUAAUUUUCACGAACUCGUGAAAAUGUGCGCGGCCCGAGAAAAUAGGAAAGGUCAAGUUUGAAAGAUUAAAUUCAAUUUCAUUUGAAUUUAAUUCAAAAGGUUUGAACUAGGACAGGUUUUUCGAAGUGCCCAAAAACGUUGAGAAAAUAGGUGGAGCUCAGGAAAAGGACGAAAAGGACAUGUGGCAAAUUUAGAGGCCAAGAGUUGAAAUAACAAAAGGCAUUGGGAUUUUUGCAAGUGUGUUAUGGUGAAUUUCAAAAUAAAGAAAUAUUGAAUAUAGCUCCCUACUAUCGGAAGGAUAUGUUUUUAAGAGAGACCACCAUGUGAAUUCCCUCGAAUUAAAUAGAUCAACGAUCUAUGCAAUUUUAUUUAUUUGAGUUAUUAAAAAGGUUGCGAGAUGACAUGUUGCAAUGCACAUGAUGCAAGGAUGAAAUGCAACGAACCAAACAAUUCACACGACGAAACCCGGAAACCCUGGAAGGCAUCUGAAGCUCCGGUCUUGGGGCGUUACACUUGAUCCUCGUAAACGUUCUCAACGGGCUCCUCGAUCACGUACUCGUCUCCCGGCCCUACCCAAGCAAGAACGCAAAAAAGGGAGACACAAUCAACCACGGUGCAAUGCACAAGCAACAUGAUGCGAAACAUGGCAUGAUAUGCGGGAUGUGAUAUGCGAUGCAUAUGCAUGUUUCGGAAAGGAAAGAUUGAACCUGGCCUCAACUUGGAAAACCAAGAGUGCCACUGGAAAGAUGAGUUGAUUUCGGUCGAAAUCGAUAUAAAGAUCACCGGAAUCGGAUGCACGGUUUGCAAAUGGCAAGCAAAACAAAUAUGGCACGAUCUGCGAUUAACAGCACGAGGCCAUCUAAAUGCAUCAAGAACAAUAAGCUACUGCACUCUAACAUAACAACAAGUCACAUGGCAGGGAUCCACUCAAGAUUCUUGACAAAAGAUGAACAUUGAGCUAUGGCUAAUUCACUCAAUAGCAUGUUCAAACAAGCAUGGAAAAAGUGCAAAAGAUAACAGGUUACAGACUUAGUGAAAAUAACAUGUCAGGAAUUUAACAUCAGGAACCAAUGUUUAUAGCAAGAUAACAACAGCUACGGGAACAUAUCAUGGCAAAGCGAGGUAUGGCAUGAAGCUACUCAAAGCAUACAACAAAAGUCUAUUACUGACCAUAAGCCAAAAGGGAUCAUAAAAUACAAUGGCAACCAUGUGAACAUAGCAACUUUGUUUAACAGAUUCACACUUAGUAGAAAACUGGAACAUGGUAAAACAGAUUCACAUAGGCAAGUUUACGAGCUCGAUGCACUCACCACAAGGCAUUUCAUGAAAAACUAAGCAUACACCCAGCAAGUAGACAUGGCAUAGAAGCUAAACAUGGCAAGAACACUCUCAUAGCAUGCACGAAUCAACUACAACAACCUCGGAAAAAUUGCUUAACAUGUAAACAAUCUGUCAGGAAUAUUUUAUAGCAAAAGUAGAGCUUGAUUGAGUCAUGCUAGGGGACUCCAUAAUUGCAAACAAAGACAUGGAUGGAUAGAGCAUAACAAUAGCUCUCGUAAUGUUGCUCUCAUAACAAUCUGCCGGUCGGAACAGGCGCCGGCGACGAUGGGGAACGGCGGGGAGCGACGAGGGGCGGCGGAGCUGGUGCGGCGGUGCGGCGGCGGCGGAGCUGGUGCGGCGGUACGGUGGCGGCGGAGCANNNNNNNNNNNNNNNNNNNNNNNNNNNNNNNNNNNNNNNNNNNNNNNNNNNNNNNNNNNNNNNNNNNNNNNNNNNNNNNNNNNNNNNNNNNNNNNNNNNNNNNNNNNNNNNNNNNNNNNNNNNNNNNNNNNNNNNNNNNNNNNNNNNNNNNNNNNNNNNNNNNNNNNNNNNNNNNNNNNNNNNNNNNNNNNNNNNNNNNNNNNNNNNNNNNNNNNNNNNNNNNNNNNNNNNNNNNNNNNNNNNNNNNNNNNNNNNNNNNNNNNNNNNNNNNNNNNNNNNNNNNNNNNNNNNNNNNNNNNNNNNNNNNNNNNNNNNNNNNNNNNNNNNNNNNNNNNNNNNNNNNNNNNNNNNNNNNNNNNNNNNNNNNNNNNNNNNNNNNNGAGGCGGGCCGGGAGGGCCUGCCCUAGGCCCGGACGGGCCGGCGAAGUGGGGCGCGCGGGCGACGAGUGGGGAGGCAACACGUGGUGGCACGGGAUCCUGUCUGGCGGCGGGCGGACGCGUCCGGCCGCGCGGAGGUGAGGGGAGCUAGGGUUAGGGGUGAUUUGAUCUGGGAUUUGGAAUGGGAGGACCUUUUUAUAGGUAGAAGGAGCUAGGAGGCUCCAAAUUGAGCAUGGUUUUCGGCCACGCGAUCGUGAUCGAAUGACCGAGAUGAUGGAGGGGGUUUGGCUGGGCUUUGGGCCACUUUCGAGGGGUGUUGGGCUGCAACACACACGAGACCUUUACGGUUCCUCGGUUAACCGUUGGAGUAUCAAACGAAGUCCAAAUGGCACGAAACUUGACAGGCGGUUUACCGGUAGUGAACCAAGGCCGCUUGGCAAGUCUCAUUCCAAUCCGAAAACGUUUAACACCCGCACACGAAAAGAGGUAAAAGGGGACACCGGAGGACAUAGGAGCGCCAGAAUGCAAAAUGGACAACGGGGAAACUUCUCGGAUGCAUGAGACGAACACGUAUGCAAAUGCGAUGCACAUGAUGACAUGGUAUGAGAUGCAUGACAAAGACAAAAGCAACACGAAGACAAAAACCCGACAACGAGGAAAUAUCAUAACUUAGUGCCGGAAAUGGCAAGAGUUGGAAUACAAAUAUGGCAGGUUACAUAUGGGGCGUCACAACACUCCACCACUACGAAAGGAUCUCGUCCCAAGAUCUAGGACUGGAAAAAUUCCGGGUACUCGGAACGGAGGUGGUCCUCACGUUCCUAGGUGGCUUCACGGUCGGAAUGAUGUGACCACUUCACUUUCAGGAAUUUGAUAGACUUGUUGCGAGUCUUGUGCUCUGUUUCUUCAAGAAUAGCAACGGGGUGCUCACGAUAAGACAGGUCUUCUUGGAGAUCAAUCUCUUCAAAGUUGAUGGUGCGGUCAGGAGUCUUGAAACACUUGCAGAGCUGAGACACGUGAAACACGUCGUGCACAUUUGCAAAGUUGGAUGGAAGCUCAAGUUGAUAGGCAAGAUCGCCUCUUUUGCCAAUGAUCUUGAAAGGACCCACGUAUCUAGGGGCAAGCUUCCCUUUGAUACCGAAGCGAUGAGUACCUUUCAUUGGAGAGACGCGGAGGUAGACAUGGUCUCCGAUCUCGAAAGCCAAGUCACGAUGUUUGCUAUCAUAGUAACUCUUCUGGCGCGAUUGCGCGGCUUUGAGAUUUUCACGAAUGACUUUGCACAUUUCUUCAGCCUCUGUGAUCAAGUCAUUGCCAAGAAGUUGGCGUUCACUAGUCUCUGACCAGUUAAGAGGAGUACGACACUUCCUGCCAUAGAGAAACUCGAAUGGGGCCUUGCCCGAACUCGCUUGAAAGCUGUUGUUGUAGGAGAAAUCCGCAUAUGGAAGACAAUCUUCCCACUUCAUACCAAAAGAAAUGACACAAGCCCUGAGCAUAUCUUCAAGAAUUUGAUUGACUCGCUCGACUUGUCCACUGGUUUGAGGAUGAAAGGUUGUGUUGAAGCGAAUGUUGGUGCCCAUGGCCUUCUGAAAAGAAUCCCAGAACUUAGAGGUGAAGAUGCUACCAUGAUCUGAAGAUAUCAACUGCGGAAUGCCGUGCAAGGAGACAAUCCUGGAGGUAUAUAGCUCUGCCAACUAAGCUGUUGUGAUAGAUUCUUUGAUAGAAGAAAAUGAGCCACUUUGGUGAGCUUGUCGAUGACCACGAAGAUAGCAUCAUUGCCACACUUUGACUUUGGAAAUCCAGUCACGAAGUCCAUCUCAAUAUGGUCAAACUUCCAUUCUGGAAUGGCAAGAGGUUGGAGGAGACCAGCUGGUCGUUGGUGUUCCGCUUUCACUCUUCUGCAGACAUCACAUUCAUUCACGAACUGAGCAAUCUCGCGCUUCAUUCGAGUCCACCAAUACGACUGCUUAAGGUCAUGGUACAUCUUUGUACUACCAGGGUGGAUAGAGAGGAGUGAAUUGUGAGCCUCGUUCAUAAUGAAUUUACGAAGGUCACCUUUAGGAACAACAAUUCGAUCCUCGAAGAAAAGAGUAUCCUUGUCAUCAAGGCGAUAGCACUUGUACUUGGGUUGACUCUUGGCAAUCCCAAUCUUCACCUUCUUCACCAUAGCAUCAAGCAGUUGAGCCUCACGAAUCUGAUCUUCCAAAGUAGGAGAGACUUGGAGGUUGGCAAGGAAUCCUUGAGGAACAACUUGGAGAUUAAGUUUGCGGAAAGCUUCACAAAGCUCUGGUUGGUAGGGCUUGAUAAUCAAACUGUUGCAGUAAGCCUUCCUGCUCAAUGCGUCAGCAAUUACAUUGGCCUUGCCUGGAGUAUAUUCAAUACUCGGAUUAUACUCUUGAAUCAUCUCGACCCAACGAGUCUGCCUGAGGUUGAGGUUGGGCUGAGUGAAGGUGUACUUGAGACUCUUAUGAUCAGUGAAGAUGUCCACUUUUCUUCCCAACAAGAGAUGUCUCCAUGUUAAAAGAGCAUGGACAACUGCCGCCAACUCGAGGUCAUGAGUGGGGUAGUUCUUUUCGUUGGGCUUCAACUGGCGAGAGGUAUAGGCCACAACUUUCUUCUCUUGCAUCAAUACUGCACCGAGACCUUGAAGGGAAGCAUCACAGAAGACCUCGAACGGUUUGGAUUCAUCAGGAGGAGUCGGAACUGGAGUAGUGACUAACUUCUCUUUGAGGGUGUUGAAAGCGAUGUCACAUUCAGGGGACCAGACAUACUUCACAUGCUUCUGGAGAAGGUUGGAAAGAGGCUUCGCGAUCUUUGAGAAGUUCUCAACGAACCUUCGACAAUAGCUUGCAAGCCCAAGGAAGCUGCGGAGUUGCUUCACAUUCUGAGGCGGUUCCCAAUUCACAAUUGCAGACACCUUCUCAGGAUUAACAGCUAUGCCCUUGGCAGAGAUGAUAUGUCCAAGAUAGAGAACCUCAUCGAGCCAAAACUCGCACUUUGAAAACUUCACAUAGAACCGAUGUUCUCUGAGUUUGUCCAGAACCAAUCUCAAGUGCUUGGCAUGAUCCUCCUUGUUCUUGGAAAAGACCAAAAUGUCAUCGAGGUAGACCAAGACGAAGUCAUUUGUGUAGGCGUUGAAGAUGAAGUUCAUCAUGCGAGAGAAUGUUGGAGGAGUAUUGACAAGGCCGAAAGACAUGACAGUGUAUUCAUAUGAACUAUAGCUUGUUCUGAAUGUUGUCUUGGGGAUAUCUUCUUCACAAAUGCGAAUCUGAUGAUAGCCCAUACGGAGGUCAAGCUUGGAGAAUACUUGAGCACCUUUGAGUUGUUCGAAAAGCUCAUUGAUGUUGGGAAGUGGGUACUUGUUCUUUAUGGUCUUCUUGUUCAAUGGACGAUAGUCGACACAAAAUCGGUCCGUUCCAUCCUUCUUCUUGACAAAAAGAACACCACAACCCCAUGGAGAAGAACUUGGUCGGAUGAGACCCAUACGCUCUUGAAUAUCGAGUUCUUUCUUCAGCUCCUUCAACUCUUCAAGUCCAAGCUUGUAAGGACGUUUGCAAACAGGUUCCGUGCCAGGCUCAAGAUCGAUGACGAAUUCAACUGGCCAGUCCGGAGGCAUUCCUGGAAGCUCUUCUAGAAAGACGUCUUGAUAUUCGCAAACGACUGGAAUCUGAGAGAUGGCAUCCAACUCGCCCUUCUCGUUGAGAAAAAAACAAUCGAAUGGUAUUAUCACGAGCGGCAAAGACGAUUACAUCCUCAGACGAAUGUGUCAAUUGAAUCUGUCUGGCAGCACAAUCAAGGUGAGCCUUGUGCUUAGAAAGCCAGUCCAUUCUAAGAAUAAGAUCAAUAUCCGAGUUACCAAGGACCACUGGAGAGGACAGAAACUUAUAGUCGCCCAACGUGAUAGAGACAUCGGGAGCAACCAAACUAGAAGUCAUAAGCUUUCCGGGAGAAACAACUUGCAUGACUUUGGGCAAAACCUCUGUGUCAACAUUGUGCUUCGAUGCAAAAGGGAAUGACAAGAAAGAAUGCGAUGCACCAGUAUCAAAAAGAACUCUUGCAGGAAUAUCGUUAACAGGAAGGUUACCCAUGAUCACAUCUGACGAGUCCUCUGCCUGAGCUGCGUUCAUCAUGUUGACCUUUGCAAACUUGGGAUUAUGCUUGACCACUGCAGUGCUAGCAGAUCUCACUCGAGGGGGAGGAGGAAGACGCUUCUGAUUGAAGCAUUUGUUGGCAUAGUGACCCUUCUGCUGACACUUGUUGCACGUGACCUCCGAGAGCGGACGGUGAUACGGAGCACUUGAUCUUGGAGCAUGAGACGAAGUCUUGUUCUGAAAGCCUGGGUUGAGUGGGUGGGAAGAUCCAUUGCCACCUUUGCUCUUCUGCUAAUAAGGCUAACGAAACGGAGGAGGAGGAGGCAACCAAUACUUUUGCUGCUUAGUUGCCACUUGAGUUGAGGAAGAAGGAGUUGCAUCCCUGACUCGUUUGUUGGAAGCAUCGCACUUGAGUUGAGCAGUCUCUUAUUUCAGUGCCAUGUUGUAAAACUCAUCAUACUUCUUCGGCUCGAAAAGCACGAGAGCUAGUUGGAGAUCUUUUCUGAGGCCACCUCUGAACUGAUAAAUCAUGCUCUUCUCAUCAGGGACGUCUUGCUUAGCGAAACGAGCGAGCUUCUGGAACAUGAUGUUAUACUGGUAAACAGACAAGCUGCCUUGCUUCAGGUUGCGGAACUCCUCACACUUGCUCUCAACAACACUCUGAGGAAUGUGGUGAGCUUUGAAGUCUUGACGGAAUUCAUCCCAGGUAAUCACACGACCUCCUCUGGAAUCUUUGUAUUGCUGAUACCAUUCUGCAGCUUGGUCUUUGAGUUGGAACGAGGCAAACUUGACAAAGUCCUCAGGCCUGACGUUGCUGCACUCGAAAUGCUUGCAGAUAUCCACGAGCCAAUCAUCAGCGUUUGUUGCCUCGACACAGUUACUGAAGGUCUUUGGCUGGUUAGCGAGGAACUGGUUGAGUGUAGCAAACUGAUUCUAAUUGUUGUCAUGGCCUUGAAUCCCUUGGUUGCGCUCUUGUAAGAGUUGCAUAAGCAUCUGUGUGUUGGUAUUGGUAGCGGCCAUCACAGCUUGCCAUGCCUCCGGAGGUGGAGGUGGUGGCGGCGGUUCAGGAUUCUGACGCGUUGGAGGAGCCAUCCUAAAGAGGGUGACAUCCGUUAGCAUCUUGAGAGACAUAUAUUCAAGCUGAAUGAAAUGGAUCAAAAUUGCAACAUAUAGUCUUAACAUUCGAACAAGAAUGAACGAAUGCAAUCCAAAUUAAAUGGUCACACUUCCAUAAAUUGAGAAGCCACUUAGAGGUAGAAGAAUUAAAACAACAAGGUACGGACAAGAACAAAUACUUGGUGAGGAUUACCCAAUCACAAACCAAAUAUCUGCAGAAGAAAUACUAGAGGUACAUGAAUUCCCACCUAUGAAACUCCCAAAAUUUUCCCGGUUAUGCAAUCAGGUGUUGGGGAUACAGGGGAAGCAUAAUAUCUCACCCAAAGCUAGCAAAUCCUACAUCCAGUUGUAUCCAUCCUUCAACACAUAACCAAGAAACCUUCGGAAAUCAUUUACCUCAACCUUCGAAAAGCAUCCAUUAUACGAGUUAUGGCAAUACUCCCAAACUCCCGCCCAAGUACUGGGUGGCGUCGAGGUUAUCUCACCAACAACUGCAUAAAAGAGAUUUCCGAUGUCGGCGAAACUCGGGUAUUCCAGAACUGCAACGAUAAAAUUGUGACGACAACACCUCGGAGCUCAACUCCCCGGGACACUGCCACAACCCCUAAAUGUCAGGAGGCACCAAGAACAAUGUUCUCGUCACAAAACCAUCGGAACGAUUCCAAGAUACCCGCGUGAUCCUAAUUUUUUUAGUGAAAUUUGAGAAGAGAAGAGUCAAAACUCUACGUCAGGAUGCCUCACCAGAGCGACGAAGGGACUGAGGAGUAAAAAGAAGUCCUAACUCUCCGAUAUAUAUAAUUCCUAAAUGACUCAAAACAUUUUUCUAGACUCAAUAGCGCCAGCUAUUCGAUCAAGCAGGGGGCUCCUAAGGUCGGGGAAGGCUCUGAUUAACAACUUGUAACGCCCUUGAUGCGGCUAUAUCUCCCACGUGUCGAAGCACGACUUAGAGGCAUAAGCGCAUUGAAAGCAAUGUCGCAAGUGAGGUAAUCUUCACACAACCCAUGUAAUACAUAAGGGAAAGAGAUACAUAGUUGGCUUACAAUCGCCACAUGACACAAUGCAUAAAAAUAACAUUACAUUCGUCCAGAUACAAUCAAGGUCCGACUACGGAACCAAAAUAAAGACAACCCCAAAUGCAUAAAGUCCCCGAUCGCCCCAACUGGGCACCACUACUGAUCGUCUGGAAAGGAAAUGUAGUAUCGUCUUGAGUCCUCAUCGAACUCCCACUUAAGCUCAAUCGCAUCUCCUGGAACGGAAUCAUCGGUCCCCGCAUCUGGUUUUGGAAGUAAUCUGUGAGUCAAGGGGACUCAGCAAUCUCACACCCUCGCGAUCAAGACUAUUUAAGCUUAUAGGUAGGGUAAAAGGUAUGAGGUGGAGCUGCAGCAAGCACUAGCUUAUAUGGUGGCUAACAUACGCAAAUGAGAGCGAAAAGAGAAGGCAAAGGCAUGGUCGAGAAACUAUGAUCAGUAAGUGGUCCUAGAACAACCUACAAUCAAGCAUAACACGAGACUGUGUUCUCUUCCCGGACUCCGCCGAAAAAAGACCAUCACAGCCACACACUCUGUUGAUUCAUUUUAAUUAAGUUAAGUUUCAGGUUUUCUACAACCGGACAUUAACAAAUUCCCAUCUGCCCAUAACCGCGGGCAUGGCUUUCGAAAGUUCAAAACCCUGCAGGGGUGUCCCAACUUAGCCCAUCACAAGCUCUCAUAGUCAGCGAAGGAUAUUCCUUCUCCCAAGACAACCCGAUCAGACUCGAAAUCCCGGUUACAAGACAUCUCGACAAUGGUAAAACUAAACUAGCAAAGCCGCCCGAAUAUGCCGACAAAUCCCGAUAGGAGCUGCACAUAUCUCGUUCUCAGGGCACACUCGGAUGAGACAUCCUACGAGUAAAACCAACCCUCAAGUUGCCCCGAGGUGGCCCCGCUGUCUACUCGGUGCAGACCAACACUCAGAGGAGCACUGGCCCGGGGGGGUUAAAAUAAAGAUGACCCUUGGGUCCGCGAAACCCAAGGGAAAAAGAGGCUAGGUGGUGAAUGGUAAAACCAAGGUUGGGCUUUGCUGGAGGAGUUUUAUUCAAGGCGAACUGUCAAGGGGUUCCCAUUAUAACCCAACCGUGUAAGGAACACAAAAUCAAGGAACAUAACACCGGUAUGACAGAAACUAGGGCGGCAAGAGUGGAACAAAACACCCGGCAUAAGGCCGAGCCUUCCACCCUUUACCAAGUGUAUAGAUGCAUUAAAAUAGACAAGAUAUAAUAGUGAUAUCCCAACAAUAAAUAUGUUCCAACAAGGAACAAACUCCAAUCUUCACCUGCAACUAGCAACACUAUAAGAGGGGCUGAGCAAAACGGUAACAUAGUCAAACAACGGUUUGCUAGGACAAGGUGGGUUAGAGGUUUGACAUGGCGAUAAGGGAGGCAUGAUAAUCAAGUGGUAGGUAUCGUAGCAUAGGCAUAGCAAAAGAGCAAGCAUCUAGCAAGCAAAGAUAGAAGUGAUUUCGAGGGUAUGGUCAUCUUACCUGCAAAGUUCUCCGAGUUGACGUAAGCUUGAUCCUCGUAAACGUUCUCAACGGGCUCCUCGAUCACGUACUCGUCUCCCGGCUCUACCCAAGCAAGAACACAAAAAAGGGAGACACAAUCAACCACGGUGCAAUGCACAAGCAACAUGAUGCGAAACAUGGCAUGAUAUGCGGGAUGUGAUAUGCGAUGCAUAUGCAUGUUUCGGAAAGGAAAGAUUGAACCUGGCCUCAACUUUGAAAACCAAGAGUGCCACUGGAAAGAUGUGUUGAUUUCGGUCGAAAUCGAUAUAAAGAUCACCGGAAUCGGAUGCACAGUUUGCAAAUGGCAAGCAAAACAAAUAUGGCACCGAUCUGCGAUUAACAGCACGAUGCCAUCUAAAUGCAUCAAGAACAACAAGCUACUGCACUCUAACAUAACAACAAGUCACAUGGCAGGGAUCCACUCAAGAUGCUUGACAAAAGAUGAACACUGAGUUACGGCUAAUUCACUAAAUAGCAGGUUCAAACAAGCAUGGCAAAAGUGCAAAAGAUAACAGGUUACAGACUUAGUGAAAAUAACAUGUCAGGAAUUUAACAUCAGGAAGCAAUGUUUAUAGCAAGAUAACAAUAGCUACAGGAACAUAUCAUGGCAAAGCAAGGCAUGGCAUGAAGCUACUCAAAGCAUACAACAAAAGUCCCUUACUGACCAUAAGCCAAAAGGGAUCAAAAAAUACAAUGGCAACCAUGUGAACAUAGCAACUUUCGUUAACAGAUUCAGACUUAGUAGAAAACUGGAACAUGGUAAAACAGAUUCACAUAGGCAAGUUUACGAGCUCGAUGCACUCACCACAAGGCAUUGCAUGACAAACUAAGCAUACACCCAGCAAGUAGACAUGGCAUAGAAGCUAAACAUGGCAAGAACACUCUCAUAGCAUGCACGGAUCAACUACAACAACCUCGGCAAAAUUGCUUAACAUGUAAACAAUCUGCCAGGAACAUUUUAUAGCAAAAUUAGAGCUCGAUUGAGUCAUGCUAGGGGACUCCAUAAUUGCAAACAAAGACAUGGAUGGAUAGAGCAUAAUAAUAACUCAAAAUCACCCUUACUGAACAUGCUCAAAAAAGGCAUGGAUCACUCUGUAGCAACAAGAAUACAUGGCAUAAAAAUAUUAACAGGGCAAAGACUUAGAAGAUUUCUAAAUCCCUGAAAUCAGCAACAUUAGGAGAGCUACUUUGCAUGCUUGUGCUAGCCACCACAAAGAUCACAAAAAUACAUGGCAUACACCCUUGUAAAGAUGGCAUGGCAUACUUUAAAACACAUGUAGGGCUCAAGCUCAUAGGAGGCACACAUUAAACAUGGCAAAAAUGACAAAUGUCCAAUUACUGAUAAGAGUCUGAAACUAAUAUUGCAUAGCACUCUUGCAACAACAUUUAGGGCAUCAAGAUGAGCUCAUAUGAACAUGGUGCAAUGGAUGAAAUGAAUUGACACGAACAAUUUGACAUGCUACACGUCCAAAACGGAGCCACGGAUGCAAAGAUAUGGCAUGAUGAAAUAUGCUAAAAGUUACUAGGACUUAGGGCAAAAAUUAGGUCAACCUCCCAGAUCUAGAUCAGGGCGGCGCGGAAACCGAGGUCCACCGGAGAUGGAGCCCGCCAGAGUUGGAGGGGUUUGCCGGAGGAAGGUCGCGGGAGGUCGGGGCGGCGAGAUCCGGGCUGCUCCUGCCCGGAUCCGGCCGGAACAGGCGCCGGCGACGGCGGGGAACGGCGGGAAGUGACGAGGGGCGGCGGAGUUGGUNNNNNNNNNNNNNNNNNNNNNNNNNNNNNNNNNNNNNNNNNNNNNNNNNNNNNNNNNNNNNNNNNNNNNNNNNNNNNNNNNNNNNNNNNNNNNNNNNNNNNNNNNNNNNNNNNNNNNNNNNNNNNNNNNNNNNNNNNNNNNNNNNNNNNNNNNNNNNNNNNNNNNNNNNNNNNNNNNNNNNNNNNNNNNNNNNNNNNNNNNNNNNNNNNNNNNNNNNNNNNNNNNNNNNNNNNNNNNNNNNNNNNNNNNNNNNNNNNNNNNNNNNNNNNNNNNNNNNNNNNNNNNNNNNNNNNNNNNNNNNNNNNNNNNNNNNNNAGGCGGGCCGGGAGGGCCUGCCCUGGGCCCGGACGGGCCGGCGAAGUGGGGCGCGCGGGCGAUGAGUGGGGAGGCGACAUGUGGCGGUGCGGGAUCCUGUCCGGCGGCGGGCGGACGCGUACGGCCUUGCUGAGGUGAGGGGAGCUAGGGUUAGGGGUGAUUUGAUCCGGGAUUUGGAAUGGGAGGACCUUUUUAUAGGUAGAGGGAGCUACGAGGCUCCAAAUUGAGCAUGAUUUUCGGCCAUGCGAUCAUGAUCGAACAACCGAGAUGAUGGAGGGGGUUUGGCUGGGCUUUGGGCUACUUUCGAGGGGUGUUGGGCUGCAACACACACGAGACCUUUACGGUUCCUCGGUUAACCGUUGGAAUAUCAAACGAAGUCCAAAUGGCACGAAACUUGACAGACGGUUUACCGGUAGUGAACCAAGGCCGCUUGGCAAGUCUCGUUCCAAUCCGAAAAUGUUUAACACCCGCACACGAAAAGAGGUAAAAGGGGACACCGGAGGACAUAGGAGCUCCGGAAUGCAAAACGGACAACGGGGAAAAUGCUUGGAUGCAUGAGACGAACACGUAUGCAAAUGCGAUGCACAUGAUGACAUGAUAUGAGAUGCAUGACAAAGACAAAAGCAACACGAAGACAAAAACCCGACAACGAGGAAAUAUCAUAACUUAGUGCCGGAAAUGGCAAGAGUUGAAACACAAAUAUGGCAGGUUACAUAUGGGGCGUUACAUAUUGCUAUUAAAUUCAAGAAAUUGAGGAAAGGCUUAAAGAAUUGGGCGAAAGGGCUAUCAGAUUUGAAGAAGAUCAUAGCAGACACUAAUUUUAUGAGCCUAUGCUAUGAUACUUUAGAGGAAUUCAAAGAUUUAUCAGUGGAAGAAUAUCAGUGCCGUCUCUAGAAAUUCAGGGCCCCGGUGCGAAACGAAAAAUGGGGCCCUAAACUUACUAGAAUAUGCAAGUUUUUUUAUAAUCAAACAUUGCAUGAAUUAUAGGCUUAUAUGAAGAUCAUGUAAGAAAAAGGGCUAAACCCUGAAUGUUGAACGAGUAACUAUGUUGAAAAUCUUGGUGUGUGACAACUUGAUCAACUGGCCUACUAUAUAUCUUUCCUAAAUAUUUUGAUUGAUUGACUGAUGCAUAUGCAGAUAAUAUAUUCUCACAAAUAUAACUAUUCAACGUAACAAAAAUAGUCUAAAUUAAAAAGGAAUUCAGUUUGAGCGCACCUAGUGGACAGAUUAGUGAUGCCCUCAUCUUGGCUUCGGCCACUGGCUGCUUCUAGUUGUGUGUUCCGAUUUGCAACCUGCUGAGCGCCAAGUGGCGAACAAAAUUGGAAUCAAUUCUCCAUGCGGGUUGUGUCUCCGGCCAGAAAACAAAUCGAUCAAAUGAGACAACGCCGCUAGCCUCCGUCUUGGUGUGGCGACGCCGUUUCUGUCAGUUCAUCUCCGUGAGGAGUUUUAUCCCUUUUCGAGGACACCGUGUGGGGAUAGAUAGAUUUGUAGGCUGUAUCGAUUGGGACUCGCGAAAGGCUCAGUCUGGGAGAUUGAUGAACAGGCCCAGUUUGGAGAGCCAGGAAUUAGCUGACCGGGCCUAAUUUUGUUCUAGUUGUUAAAAAAAGACUAAAACAAAAAAUAUACUGCACACUGGCCCAAAAUUGGGGGCCCCUGGAAUUUUGAGGCCCUGUGCGGCCGCACAGCCCGCACAUGCCCUUGGACUGGCCAGAGGAAUAUGAUGGUAGAAACAUUCUCAAAGCACAUCUAAAGAACUUUCUAGAUAUUCAGAGGAUUUACUGGAAACAGAUAGCUACUAUAAGGCAGAUCAAAGUUGGGGAAGCUAAUACAAAAUGUUUUCUGGCCAAAGCUACAAUCAAGUUUAGAAACAACUGCAUAGCUAUGCUCAAAGAUGAACAGGGCCAUGAACACCAUGAUCACAAUGCCAAAGCACCCAUCUUUUAUAGGGCAUUCAAAGAAAUAUUGGGUACUUGCUCUCAAACUAUGAAUCACCUCAAUCUGCAUCACCUGAUCCAACCUUUACCCGACUUAGCUGAGCUUGAAGCACCUUUCACAAAGAAAGAAAUUGACAGAGUUAUCAGACAAAUGCCAGGUGGCAAAUCACCUGAUGGAUUUAAUGCAGCAUUUCUGAAAAGCUGUUGGGAGAUCAUUGCACCAGAUUUCCAUAGACUCAUUGAGGAUUUUCACUCUGGUCAUGUGAACAUUCAGAGCAUCAACUACUCUUACAUUACACUCAUCCCAAGAAAUGCCUCUGCCUCGGCUGAAGGCCCAUCUCUCUGCUCAACUGUACUCUUAAGAUCAUUACCAAGCUUCUUGCAAACAGGUUGCAAAAACUCAUCCUCAGAAUGGUUCAUAGGAAUCAAUAUUGUUUCCUCAACAGUAGAUGCAUUCAAGAUUGCUUGGCUUGGUCUUAUGAGUAUAUUCACCAAUGCAUGCAGAGCAAAAAAGAUAUCCUUCUACUGAAGCUAGAUUUUGAAAAGGCCUUUGAUAUGCUUAAUCAUGGCACAAUUUUGGAAAUUCUUCAGGCCAAAGGCUUUGGUCCCAAAUGGAUUCAGUAGAUCAAGAUGAUUUAUGGGUCUGGCUAUUCCUUUGUUCUACUCAAUGGAGUUCCAGGAAAGCAAUUUCUCUACAAGAAAGGUGUUAGACAAGGAGACCCCUUAUCACCCCUAAUAUUUCUGAUAGCUGCCGAUCUUCUAUAGACCAUAUUUAAUGAAGCUUAUCAGAACACAUUGAUUGAAAGCCCUUUCAUUCACAAUUCUUGCCCAGACUUCCCCAUCAUUCAAUAACAGAUGAUACCAUCUUGCUGGCAAAGGCAGACAGUAGACAAAUUCAGCAUAUCAAAAACCUACUUCUGCACUAUGCUGAUUAUACUGGACUCAAAGUGAACUAUGCUAAAUCUACAAUGAUUGCCAUCAACACUCAAACAGACAUGAUGAAUGCCCUCUCCAAUCUCCUUGGGUGUAAAAUUGGUACAUUACCACAUACAUACCUUGGACUACCACUUGGCAUUACCAAACCAAGAGUGGAAGAUUUUGUGCCCCUUCUGAAAAGAAUUGAAAGCAGACUACUGAGUUGCUCCACCAUGCUAUCCACUGGUGACAAAUUGAUACUCAUCAAGUCCAUUUUCACUAGUAUGCCCACAUUCUUUUUGUGCUCUCUAAUGAUUCCCAAGACAGUCAUUAAACAGAUCAACUCCUACCUUAUGAACUGCUUCUGGAGGAAAUAUGGUACACAAGAUAGAGGGCCUGUUCUGAUUGCUUGGGAUAAAGUCAGUCGACCAAAAUUGUGACGCCCGGGUAAUUAGGCUACAGUAAUCCCACGCUAAUCGUGCCAUGACACCUCGGUUACUGUUGUUGUCCUCGCAAUAAUUUGAAACCGUUCAAAAUUCAAAUUCAAAUUUAUGACAAGAAUAAAAGUUUUCAAAAAUUAAAACAAAAAUGUUCGGUGGUUGCCGAAUAUUACAAGGGUAAUUAUGGGGCAACAAACACCUUUUUAUAAAAUGGCUAAAUGGUUUAAAAUGAUUUAAACAGAAAAGAAAGAAAUAAUAAAAGAAAACAGAAAACAAACAAACAAAAAAAGGGAAAAGGAAAAGAACCCCCCCGGGCCAGCCGACCCAACUGGCCGGCCCAUUCGACCACCGGCCCAACUGGACAAAGGCCCAGCCGGCCACUGAUGGGGUUAUGUACCUAGGGUAGGGUCAUGGACCUGAUCUAAGUACCUUACCCAUGGACACCCUUAGAAGAAGUCGCCUUCCAGUCGACCAACGAGGGACACACUCGACUGACUUGAAGGACUCGACCACGAAGACUCACUCGACCACCAGAAGGUCAAGAGGCACUCUGCACUGCAACGGCCUGUAAUCAAGUAGACUUUAUGAUAGUAAAGGCACUUUAUGUGGGGCGUUACCAAUAACGCCCCAGACUUAACUCACCUUAAACCCUCUCCUACGUGGGCUGGCUGGGGUCCUGGCGCACUCUAUAUAAGCCACCCCCCUCCACAGGCAGAAGGGUUCGGCACCUUGUAACUCAUAUACUCAUAAUCCACUCGACCGCCUCCGGGCUCCGAGACGUAGGGCUGUUACUUCCUCCGAGAAGGGCCUGAACUCGUACAUCCUUUGUGCUUACAACCUCUCCAUAGCUAGGACCUUGCCUCUCCAUACCUACCCCCCACUCUACUGUCAGGCUUAGAACCACGACAGUUGGCGCCCACCGUGGGGUGGGUGUUUUAGCGAUUUUGUGGAGAAAGUUGCGAUUCUUCCGAGUACUUCCAUCAUGGUGUCUGCUGGAGUUUUGGUCGAGGGUCAAGAGAUCCGUCUCGGCACUCUCACCUUCAUCGCCGACGACUCCGCAUGGCUCCAGGAGGCUCCACUCGACGUGGAUGCGCUUCCCGUCCGCGGUGCGACGCAUUUUCGCGCAUGUGUCCGUGGCGUUCUACUGCGGCAACCGUCGACCCAGUAUCGGUCGACUCCUUUAUCGUCCACCCUCCCGGUCUCCCGCCAGCGCAAGCGCUCAGGCCGGUCGAGGCUUCAACGAUGGGUGAGGCACGCGGUGGCUCGCCAAUCGGCCACCACCCAAGUUGCGGCAAUCAAGCCCGACGAACCUCUCUACGGCCUGUUCGAUCAGUCGACUGGCUCCGUAGAGACUGCAUCCGAGUGCGGUAGCAGUGAUCCAGCGGCGGAAAUCUUGAUGGUCGACGGGCCCCACAGUCCCCCUGGCUUCGCCCGUGGUGGUGGAGCAGGCGACGGCGGCGACCCUACACGAGGCUAUGAAGAGUACCAGCCCGAGCCACUCGACUCUCUGCAAAGAGAGGAACUUCGCCGCAGGAACGAGGACCCCCUGCGUAUUCCCAUCGCAGGAGAAACCCCCGAGGCUCGUGCCUUGGAGGAGGCGCGCCUGGCCAAUUUGGCCGAGCGCACUCGACUGGAGAACCUUCAGCGAGCACUCGACGAGCGCGCGCGGCAACGAGUUCCCGACACCAGUCGACGUCAACUCUUCCCGCCGACUCAGGUAUAUCGAACCCCAAUUCAGAAUCUAGCAGCUGCGACCCGUAUAGCAGAGUCCAUCCAGCCUUCGCAGUCGGAAGCUGGCAGAGGUUUGCUGCAGAUCAGGGAUCUACUCCAGGCAGCAGGAGAUCAGAAUUCGGCCGUGUCUCACUCGUGCAACAGAAUUCACAGUCGAUCCGUCACUGUGAAUACGGUUCAGUCGGCGCACAGCCCCAGAUCGCCUCCGCGGCGUGAAGGGCGCGAGAAUCGGCGAGAUCAAUAUGGCGACAGACUCGACCGAGAUGAUAGGCGUCGAGUGCCCUAUUCCCCUCCGAGGGGUGGGUCUUACGCUCCUCGGCAGCCAGAUGAUAGGCGUCAGUACAGUACAGGGCACAGGAUUCCAGUCGACCCCAGAGAACCAGGCUUCGACGCGCGAUCCAUUAUCGUGCAAGGGUUGGUUGACCGGAACAGAGCCCAUCGAGGUGGACUCGACAGAGAUGUACCCACAAGCAGUCGAGUGCAUGUUUCUGGUCCUGAAUGUUUCAGCAGAGCUAUCAGAGCCGCAGUUAUCCCUCCCAAUUUCAGGUUGGCAUCAGGAGUCAGCAAGUUCACUGGUGAGUCUAAGCCUGAAACUUGGCUUGAAGACUACCGAGUGGCAGUUCAGAUUGGUGGUGGGAACGACGAGGUGGCCAUGAAACAUUUGCCCCUCAUGUUGGAAGGUUCUGCCAGGGCAUGGUUGACUCAAUUACCUCCUAGCAGCAUUUACACUUGGGAAGAUCUGUCCCGAGUGUUCGUCAGGACGUUUGAAGGAACUUGCAAGCGACCAGCUGGAUUGACAGAGUUGCAAGUCUGCGUGCAGAAAACUAAUGAGACUCUCAGAGAGUAUAUUCAGAGGUGGAUCACUUUGCACCACACUGUGGAGAAUCUGUCUGAUCAUCAGGCAGUCUGCGCCUUCAAAGAUGGUGUCAAGAACAGAGAACUGAGUUUGAAGUUUGGUCGAACCGGUGACAUGACCUUGGGUCGGAUGAUGGAGAUUGCUACCAAGUACGCCAACAGCGAAGAAGAAGACCGACUCCGAAGCGGCAAGCACAAGCCGAGUCAGUCGGAAAAAGGAAACACCAGUCGGAAACAGAAGCGGAAGGCUGAACCGGCAGCUCCUGGAGAGGCUCUGGCCGUGACUCAAGGAAAGUUUAAGGGGAAACCAAAAGGAUCCUGGAACCCCAAGAAGGUAAAGGAUAAAGAAGGGAACGACGUGAUGGAUAUGCCAUGUCACAUUCACACGAAGAAAGACGAAGAGGGGAAUAUCAUUUACCCGAAGCACACCACUCGCCAAUGUCGACUCCUGAUCCAGCAGUUUCAGGGAAAACAGUCUAAGGACAAGGAGAAGGAGUCAGACAAGGCCGAAGACAAGGAGGACAGUGAGGAAGGAUAUCCGCAUAUCAACUCCACUCUGAUGAUCUUUGCAGAUGUGGAAAGCAGAAGUCGACUGAAAGUGAUUAACCGAGAGGUGAACAUGGUUGCCCCCGCAAAAGCAAAUUAUCUGAAGUGGUCUCAAACACCCAUCACAUUCGACCAAUCUGAUCACCCGACUCAUAUUGCCACCCCUGGGAGGCAAGCUUUGGUGGUCGAUCCAGUUGUCGAAGGCACUCGACUGACAAAGGUGCUGAUGGAUGGUGGAAGUGGGCUGAACUUAUUGUAUGCAGACACAUUGAAAGGUAUGGGCAUUCCGAUGUCCCGACUGAGCACUAGUAACAUGAGCUUUCAUGGAGUUAUACCAGGGAAGAAGGCCGAGUCACUCGGCCAGAUAGCUUUGGACGUGGUGUUUGGCGAUUCAAAGCAUUUUCGCAAAGAAAAGUUGACGUUUGAGGUCGUGGAUUUUCAAAGUGCAUAUCAUGCCAUUUUUGGGAGACCAGCUUACGCGCGGUUCAUGGCUCGACCAUGCUACGUAUACCUCAAAUUAAAGAUGCCCGGUCCCAAAGGAGUGAUCACUGUCACCGAUGAUAGGAAAAAGGCAGAAGAGUGCUUUCAGAAGGGCUCCAAGAUUGCCGAUUCCCAGGUGACAGCGGUCGAGUUCGAAGAAUACAAGCAAAACGCAGAUCCGAGUGAUUUGCUGCGAUCCAAGAAGCCCGCCACAGAGUCUGCAUUCCAGUCAUCCGGUGAGACGAAGCCUGUUCACAUUCACCCGACCGACCCCGAAGCAGCUCCGACCCGCAUCUCCACGACACUCGAUCCAAAAUAGGAAGAAGCGCUCAUCCAGUUCCUCCGUGAGAACUGGGACAUUUUUGCAUGGAAGCCCGCUGACAUGCCAGGUGUUCCCAGGGGACUGGCUGAGCAUCGCCUAAGAGUCGACUCAUCUGCAAAACCAGUCAAAGAGCAUCUUCGGCGGUCCGCCGUCCAGAAGAGAAAAGCCAUUGGUGAAGAAGUGGCUCGACUGUUGGCGGCAGGAUUUAUCCGAGAGAUAUACCACUCCGAGUGGCUCGCUAAUGUCGUCAUGGUUCCUAAGAAGGACAAGUCGCUCCGAAUGUGCAUUGAUUUCAAGCACAUCAACCGGGCCUGCCCGAAAGAUCAUUUUCCUCUCCCUCACAUAGAUCAAAUUGUUGACUCGAUCGCGGGAUGUGAGAGGUUAUCUUUUUUAGAUGCCUACUCCGGGUACCACCAGAUCCGUCUGUACGGGCCCGACUAGGUAAAAACAGCUUUCAUCACUCCAUUCGGGUGCUUCUGCUAUAUCACCAUGCCGUUCGGCCUCAAGAAUGCCGGAGCCACAUUUAUGCGAAUGAUUCAGAAGUGUCUACUCACUCAAAUCAGUCGGAAUGUGGAAGAUUAUAUGGAUGAUAUCGUUGUCAAGUCGCGGAAAGGUUCCGACCUGCUCGCUGACCUCGCCGAAACAUUUGCCAACCUCAGAAGGUAUGAUAUCAAGCUCAAUCCAUCAAAGUGCACAUUUGGAGUUCCUGGUGGCAAGUUACUCGGUUUUCUCAUUUCCGAACGGGGAAUCGAUGCUAACCCAGAGAAGAUUGGCACUAUUCUCCGAAUGAAACGCCCUGUGCGAGUGCAUGAUGUCCAGAAGCUUACUGGAUGCUUGGCCGCAUUAAGUCGAUUCAUCUCACGACUCGGUGAAAAGGCAUUACCUCUUUACCGACUGAUGAAGAAGACAGACAAGUUCGAGUGGACUCCAGAAGCUGACGCAGCGUUUGCCGAGCUAAAAGCUCUGCUCUCCACCCAGCCGGUGCUUGCUGCUCCAAUCAGCAAAGAGCCUCUGUUGCUCUAUAUCGCAGCCACAGGACAAGUCGUCAGUACUGUGCUAACGGUCGAGCGGGAAGAAGAAGGAAAAGCUCUCAAAGUUCAGCGCCCAGUGUAUUAUUUGUCUGAAGUCUUGACUCCAUCCAAGCAGAGAUAUCCUCAUUAUCAGAAGCUUGUGUAUGGAAUAUACAUGACCACAAAGAAGGUUGCUCAUUAUUUCUCUGAUCAUUCCAUCACAGUCGUCAGCGACGCUCCACUAUCAGAGAUUUUGCAUAACAGAGAUGCAACUGGUCGAGUGGCCAAAUGGGCGAUUGAACUUCUUACCAACUGUCGUGGUUCUAAGUCUGACAGUAGAAUAGGGGUAGUAUAACGGAGCAUGAUCUAUCGAGAUGCAUAUGGGUGACACGGUGGUUUUAGCGAGUUCGGGCCUCUCACGGUGGAGAUAACAACCCUACGUCUCGUGCUCCGGAGAGGCUUUGUUUUAUCUGAGUAUAUAUCCGGAGAUUACAAUGUGUGUGAGAGAGAGGGACGGAUCCCCAUGCCUGAGCUAAGUCCUGAGACUAAUGGUGAAAAGAAAGAGAGGUGGAAGAAGAGCCCCCUUGUCUAGUGGUGGGGGGUGGCUUAUAUAGAGUGCGCCACCCCCUCACCUCCUAUGUUACAAAGUGGGGUAUGAAUGCCAUAAUGCCAGCCCGCUAUUAAGCCCUCACUAUUAGAAAGAUGCCGACUGCCUUGCUGCCUGCUGGUCUUCGUAUAUCCGAGUGAGUCGUACGGUCGAGUGGUGAGCCGUCAUCCGAGUGGAUGGUAUGUUGUUUGGUCGAGUGGAUAGUAUGCUGCUUGUCCGAGUGGAUAGUGUGUCUGUAUGAAAUUGACCUGGACCCACAUGUUGUGUGGGCCCCAUGCUUCAUGAUAUUUCGACCCUUCGUGGGCCUACCUGUUAUGUAUAUCCCCAACAUUAGCCCCCGAAUCGAUUGCGAUUUUGCAGAACGAGUUGGUGUAAGACACAGUUUGGUCCGAGUGAUUACAGAAAUACUCGGUACAUGUCGCCGCGCUUUCAGACAACCAAGGUUUGAACAAAAUCUCAAUGGAUUCCGGCACCAUGCUUCCCGACUAAUCGAGGUAAGCGUCUGUGAGGAGCAACUUGGUGACAUUCGUUCAUCUCUCGGGAGAGGUUUAACUCGUGAUCUGAGUAUGGGCGUGUCAUUAAAUCCGUGCAACCAGAUUGACACAUGGACUGCUUUUUUAGAGAGAUGCCAUUCUUAUCCCGGAGGAACGCCAAUACGAGUCGGUUUCAGAUCCACACUUGUGAGUUUCACGCUUUGAGUCCUAGAAGAAGGUUCAAAACAGGUCCAUGGAGGAGCGUUAAACUCGCCUUAUAGAAUUUUUUGGAGUGAUUUGGAGCUGGGCCUACAUCGAGUAACUGAUUACUCGGAAUUUCUUCACGCCUGGAACGUGUCUUUUUUGUUGUUUGGCCGUCACUCGGGUUGGGCGAACCGUUCCGAGUGGAUACCAUUCCAGUGGGGGCACGCUGAGUGCACCCACUGGGUGUAGUCCCCGAGACUGCUGUCGACUGCAGGCAGUCGGCGGGAGUCUUAGAGCCUGUCUUUUUGUUGUUGUUUGGCCGUCACUCGGGUUGGGCGGACCGUUCCGAGUGGAUACCAUUCCAGUGGGGGCACGCUGAGUGCACCCAGUGGGUGUAGUCCCCGAGACUGCUGUCGACUGCGGGCAGUCGGCGGGAGUAUGAGAGAACUAAAACUCUUCUUAGCUGGUACUGAUCGAACUUGUUCUUCUCUGACUCGGAGGUCGAGUAAUACUGGAGAUAGGUUUACAUCGAGCAAAAUGUUUCUUUCUGAGUCCUCUUCCAGUGGGGGCACGCUGAGUGCACCCACUGGGUGUAGUCCCCGAGCCUCUGUCAGACUAGAUGAGUCUGACAGAGGGUUUAAGUUUCUCGUUAAACCUCCAUGCAGUUGGCAUGGCAAAUAUCUUUGUCUGGAAUUGAAUCAAUCGGAUGGAUGCGUAACGAAGUGGUUGUACGAACGAUGAGUAAGGUCGCCUGUACGAUUCAGUGAUGGCGCUUCAUUUUUACCCUUUUGCAUGAAAAGGGGUAUUUAUCCAAGUGGACGUGCUUCACUUAUAGAUCUUCGGCGAACCGAGCAUGUAUGGUCAGAAGAAUAUCUUGAUGUGAUCAACAGGUUGACCAAAUGGGCGUAACCCCUGAGGGUGACAUGGCCAACUGCCGCGCGUAGCCCCCGAGUGGUGCUCGAAGGAGGUAAGCUUGCUACAGAGUGUGAUAUGAGGUUUGACCAUAUGAGUAACUUAGCCGUUCCCGUGCUGGGGGUGUAGAGGUAAAGACAUGUCCAACUGAUGGUGACGCGCGGGGCGGCCGAGGGGCGAGGACGUGUAUAACCGAGUGGCGACGCGCGGGGCGGCCGAGGGGCGAGGACGUGUCAAAACCGAGUGGCGCCGCGCGGGGCGGGCGAGUGGUGAAGACGUGCAGAACCAAGUGGCGAUGCGCGGGGCGGCCGAGUGGUGAAGACGCACACAACCGAGUGGAGACGCGCGGGGCGGACGAGUGAUGAAGACGUGCGCAACCGAGUGGCGACGGGCGGGGCGGCCGAGUGGUGAAGACGUGCAAAACCGAGUGGCGCCGCGCGGGGCGGGCGAGUGGUGAAGACGUGCAGAAUCAAGUUUGAGGCAAAGAAAGCCAUUAAGUCCCAGGCAAUAGCAGAUUUCCUUGCCGAGUGGAUUGAACAGCAGCAGCCGACUGAAGUUCACUCGGAGCAUUGGACCAUGUUUUUUGAUGGCUCGAAGAUGUUGAAUGGUUCCGGUGCUGGGGUUGUCCUGGUUUCCCCCAGAGGAGAUAAGCUCAGAUAUGUGCUCCAGAUUCACUUUGAUUCCUCCAACAAUGAGGCAGAAUAUGAAGCCCUCUUAUAUGGGUUGCGCAUGGCCAUUUCACUCGGCGUCCAUCGCCUGAUGGUCUAUGGCGACUCGGAUUUAGUGGUCAAUCAGGUGAUGAAAGAGUGGGACGUGAGAAGCCCAGCCAUGACUGGAUACUGCAGUGCAGUGAGGAAGCUGGAAAAGAAGUUCGGGGGGUUGGAGCUCCACCAUAUACCCCGACUGAAAAAUCAAGCAGCUGAUGAUCUAGCAAAGAUAGGUUCCAAGAGAGAAGCCAUCCCGAGUGGUGUGUUCUUGGAGCAUAUACACACUCCGUCAGUCAAAGAAGAUCCUUUCACCGAAGAAACUCCACAGCCCAAGAGUGCCACAGAUCCGACUGAAGUUGAAGUCCCAGCGGUGGUCGACUUGAUCAUGGAGGUUUUGGUGGUCAUUCCCGACUGGACGAUUCCGUAUGUCGCAUAUAUCCUGAGGAAAGAGCUCCCGGAGGAUGAGGAAGAGGCUCGGCAGAUCGUCCGUCGAUCUAAGGCCUUUACCAUAAUCAAAGGACAAUUAUACAGAGAAAGCGCGACUGGAGUUGGUCAGAAGUGCAUAACACCAGAAGAAGGUCGACUCAUCCUCAAUGAUAUUCACUCGGGGACCUGUGGUCAUCAUGCGUCCUCUCGGACCAUCGUGGCCAAAGCAUACCGAGCCGGAUUUUACUGGCCAAAGGCGAAUGAGAUGGCAAAAGAGAUAGUGGAUAAGUGCGAGGGAUGUCAAUUCUACUCAAAUAUGUCACACAAGCCUGCGUCGGCUCUGAAGACCAUCCCACUCGUCUGGCCUUUCGCAGUAUGGGGAUUGGACAUGGUCGGUCCUUUGAGAACAGGACGAAGUGGCUUCACGCAUGUACUGGUGGCAGUCGACAAGUUCACCAAGUGGAUCGAGGCUAAACCAAUCAAGAGCCUUGACACCAGUACUGCUGUUAGCUUCAUCAGAGAACUAAUAUUCAGAUAUGGAGUCCCACACAGCAUCAUUACGGAUAAUGGGUCGAACUUUGACUCAGAGGAAUUCAGAGAUUUCUGCAACUCCCAGGGCACACGGGUCGACUACGCUUCAGUCGCCCAUCCGCAGUCGGAUGGACAAGCAGAGCGAGCUAAUGGACUGAUUCUUAAGGGAUUGAAGCCUCGACUGAUGCGUGAUCUCAAACACGCGGCUGGAGCUUGGGUCCACGAACUUCCCUCAGUACUCUGGGGACUGCGGACCACACCUAAUCGGUCGACCGGAAGAACUCCAUUCUUCUUGGUCUACGGAGCUGAAGCAGUCUUGCCGAGUGAUCUUCUCCACAAUGCUCCUCGAGUUGAAAUCUACAACGAAGCAGAGGCUGAACAAGCGCGGCAAGACGCAGUCGACCUUUUAGAGGAAGAAAGGGAGAUGGCUCUGAUCCGGUCGACCAUCUACCAACAAGAUUUGCGUCGUUUCCACGCCAGAAAUGUGAGAGGUCGAGCCUUCCAGGAAGGAGAUUUGGUUCUUCGAGUGGAUCAGCACAAACCACACAAGCUUGCUCCUUCUUGGGAAGGCCCCUUCAUCGUCACCAAGGUUCUCCACAACGGGGCGUACCGUCUUUACAACGUCAAGCAUAAUAUCGACGAGCCCCGAGCUUGGAACGCGGAGCUACUCCGCCCAUUUUACACUUAAGUUUUAUCACUCGGAUGAGAUGAAAUAAAGUACUUCUGUAGUUCAUGGACCUCAAAAUAAUAGUGUCAUAGUCCCUCCAUAAUUUCUGUCGCUUUUUAUUUUUGUCCAAUAAAAUUCCCCCUCAGUGGGUGACUUAGCUGCGAAUCCGUUUCGCCUAAGUUUGUAAAAAUCCUACCGAGUGGCGAGCCAGACUCCCACUCAGAGGCUUAGCUGCGAAUCUGUUUCGCCUAAGUUAUCAAAAUCCUACCGAGUGGUAAGCCAGCCUUCCACUCGGGGGCUUAGCUGCGAAUCUGUUUUGCCUAAGUUAUCAAAAUCCUACCGAGUGGUAAGCCAGCCUUCCACUCGGGGGCUUAGCUGCAGCCCUGUGCUCGCCUAAGUUAUAAAAAUCCUACCGAGUGGUAAGCCAGCCUUCCACUCGGGGGCUUAGCUGCAGCCCUGUGCUCGCCUAAGUUACGAAAAUCCUACCGAGUGGUAAGCCAGCCUUCCACUCGGGGGCUUAGCUGCAGCCCUGUGCUCGCCUAAGUUAUAAAAAUCCUACCGAGUGGUAAGCCAGCCUUCCACUCGGGGGCUUAGCUGCAGCCCUGUGCUCGCCUAAGUUAUAAAAAUCCUANNNNNNNNNNNNNNNNNNNNNNNNNNNNNNNNNNNNNNNNNNNNNNNNNNNNNNNNNNNNNNNNNNNNNNNNNNNNNNNNNNNNNNNNNNNNNNNNNNNNNNNNNNNNNNNNNNNNNNNNNNNNNNNNNNNNNNNNNNNNNNNNNNNNNNNNNNNNNNNNNNNNNNNNNNNNNNNNNNNNNNNNNNNNNNNNNNNNNNNNNNNNNNNNNNNNNNNNNNNNNNNNNNNNNNNNNNNNNNNNNNNNNNNNNNNNNNNNNNNNNNNNNNNNNUCUCAUUCGGAGGCUUAGCUGCAGUCCGAGCACUCGCCUAAGUUACGAAAAUCCUACCGAGUGGUAAGCCAACCCUCUCACUCGGGGGCUUAGCUGCAGUCCGAGCACUCGCCUAAGUUAUCAAAAUCCUACCAAGUGUAGAGCAACCCUCUCACUCGGAGGCUUAGCUGCAGUCCAAGCACUCGCCUAAGUUAUCAAAAUCCUACCGAGUGUAGAGCAACCCUCUCACUCGGGGGCUUAGCUGCAGUCCAAGCACUCGCCUAAGUUAUCAAAAUCCUACCGAGUGUAGAGCAACCCUCUCACUCGGAGGCUUAGCUGCAGUCCAAGCACUCGCCUAAGUUAUCAAAAUCCUGCCAAGUGAAGAGUAAACCUCUCACUCGGGGACUUAGCUGCAGCCCAGUGCUCGCCUAAGUGGACUGAAGAAUAAGUUGAUUGCAGUAAAGACGCCUUGCUUUGAACCUGCAAAAGACAUUUCGAGCCAAAGGCAAUCAUAUUCAAGCACCAAAUUCAAGUUUUGAAUCGAUAUCUAAAGGAACCGAGAGUGCUCAGGCGUUAAGCCUGUUAAGGUUUAUCGGUUACAAUUCCACUCGGCAUACCGAGGCAAAUUUAAAAGCGUCGAGCCAGAAGAAGUUUUUUACCCCUCCUGUGGAGGGCUGGAAGGAGCAACGAAUUCAUCAAGGUCAAUUCCGUCGGCGAUCCGAGUGGCAGCUGCAAGGAAAGUUUCCAUAAAGGACCUGAAGUCGUGCUUCUUGGUAUUGGCCACCCGAAGGGCCGCCAGCUUCUCUUCUCGUGCAUCCUUACAGUGGACUCGGGCAAGACACAGAGCAACAUCUGCACCACACCGAGCCGAGGACUUCUUCCAUUCCUGCACUCGACCAGGAAUCGUGUUCAACCGGGCCAUCAGCGAUUCAAGGUCAUUCUGAAGUGUCUCCUCAGGCCAAAGCGUCGAGUCGAUGCGAGAUGUGGCAGCCUUCAGCCUUGCGAGAUAGUCCAUGACAGCUGCAACACGGGACUCCAGUCGGAGAACAUCCAUGGCAACUUCAUCGUUCACCGGAGAAUUGACGGGGUCGAGGUUUGGCUCCAGCCGGCUAGUUUCUUCUUCGAAGUUUUGACAAAAUUCUGCAAGGGUGAUCACUAAGUCAAGGAGAUGGUCGAAUGGAAAAUCACAAUUGGAAAUGUCUGCCAAGCAUAGAGGUUUACCUUCAAGCAUGAGAAACAGCUUCUUGGCAAGUCCACUCAGGAAGGCCUCCAGAUCAGUUUUCUUCCCAGUCAAUUUGGCGACUUGGUCGGUCAGGGCAGCUUUAUCGGUUCUCAGUCGACUGACCUCCUUGUUGGCAAUCCCAAGAGCAGCUUUCAGAUUGGUAUUGUCUUGUUCGAGCUUGGUGACUGAAGCUAACUUCUCGUCAGCAAGCUUGAUCUUCUCAGCCAGCUCAAGGUCUUUCUUCUGUUGGGCCUCCCUUACCUUACCUGCAAGUUACAGCAAGAUCAGAUUUUGAAACAAGCAAGGGGAAAAGCAGUCGUCAGGGUCUCACCAAACAUACCUUCGGUCUCCUCCUUUGCCUUUGUCAGCUUCUCCUGAACCAGCUUCAAGCUCAGCUCGACUUGAGUAUGCUUGUGCUCCAGCUCUGAGUAGCGAGCCACAAGAUCACAAGAGUUCUGCGAAGAACCAAUCGACUAAAUGUCAAAUCUAAUUCACUUCCGAGUGAAAAAGGGAAAAACUCACGUUUCUAAGACUACAGCCGAAUACAAGCAUUCGACCGUAGUCUCGGGGACUACACCCAGUGGGUGCACUCAGCGUGUCCCCACUAAUCCUGUUGAAGACAAAGUCGACCAGUCGACCUCAAAAAAAAAGAUGUAUUCUCUAAGACUGUGAUCAACUGCAAGUAGUCGACCACAGUCUCGGGGACUACACCCAGUGGGUGCACUCAGCGUGCCCCCACCGGUUUGUGAAAUCCAGUCGACAUAGUCGACUGACAGAAAAAUUGACAACAUGAAGCCUAAGGCCGACUGCCAGCAGUCGACCUUAGCCUUGGGGACUACACCCAGCGGGUGCACUCAGCGUGCCCCCGCUAACACGGAGUUUUAUCGACACACCCAGUGGGUGACUACUAUAAAUUCCGGAAAAGAAAAGUUUUUGGUGGUAUAUCCAACAGAACAAACAGCGGUCGACUGACCUGGACAUUGCUUUGGAGGGCAGAACUGGCGUCAUAAGCUGCCUGGCUCGCGUCCCGGAUGGUCUUCAGCUGCUCCAUCAUGAGUCCCGCCUGGCGUAUCGCCUCCUUCGCCGCGCCGGCUUGGUCCUCUGGGACGUGGUGCGUCGUGAAGAGGGAGGGCCGCUGAGCACUCGUCAGUGGAUUCGCGAAGGACACCGUGUGUCGAGUGGUGUUCUCUUCCUCCACAGUCAGAAUCUCAGGCGCCGCCACAUCCUGAGGCACCUUACUGGCGGACGUUUUCCGACUCCUCCUGCGCUGCAGCGGCUCUUCAUCCUCAUCAUCAUCAGGGAGAUUGAUAACAGUAUUGGGUGGAGCUACAGAGAAAGAUCAGGAUCAGAGAUCGCGAGUCAGUCGACUAAGAACGGCGUUAAGAAUACAGUACCUGGGUUCGAAGUUGCUGCGUCCUCCAUCUCGUGGUCAUCAGCCUGGGCCGAGGUUUCAGAAGUAGCAGCACUACAACUCCAAAGGAUCAGUCGACUAACUUCAGCGUCGACCAGAGACAAAGUUCACACAAAAUGAGAAGAUUCAAACAACAUGAUUACCCUGAUAUGGUAGGGAUGGACACCUUCAUCUUCGGUAGGAGCUUGAUCGGCUUCGACGAGGCCGCCCUGGGCUGCUUCGGCGCCUUUUCAGUCGGCACCGGAGAGGUGGUCCGAGGGCGCUUGGUCGACUGAGUGGCGGUCGCAACCCCCUUACCACGUUCAGUCGAAGGGUCGUGCACAAGCUUCGACCGCCUUUCUGAGCGCGGUGGUACGACCUCCUCCUCCUCUUCUUCCUCGUCCUCGACGUCAUCUUCAUCACCGUCAUCAUCAUCGUCGUCGUCAUCAUCCUCUGCAACAUCCGAGUCCCAUUCCUCCUCUUCCUGGCUCUCGCCCCCGCUCGCCUCGCCCUCCUCAGUCGAAGCUUGUGCCCCAUUGGGCAUCGAGUACAGCUCGGUGAGGGCCUAGCAGAUGUCCAGACAAGGAUCAGUCGACCAGUCGGCAGGGUAAACAGAAAUGAAUGCGACAAGAGCGCAGUGGAGAGCAGGGCAAGUGUACCUUGUUUGGGUCGCUGUUGUGGUCGAGUGGAGGAAUCCUUCUGGCUCCGCGUGGGUUAUCCUUAUUCCCGGUAACGGCUACCAUCCACCUUUCCAGAGUGACGUCGUCGACUGCUUCUGGAUGGACUCUAGUCUCGUCUUCGGUCCCACAGUACAACCACAUGCAGUGGCUCCGGAACUGAAGGGGCUGGAUGCGACGCCUGAGGAAGACCUCCAGAAGGUCCAUGCCCGUCACUCCCUCCCGAACCAACUGCACCACGCGCUCCAUCAACAUCUUCACGUCAGCUUUCUCCUCCGGAAUCAGCUUCAGAGGGGAGGGCUUGUUCACUCGGUCCAUGGUAAACGGAGGGAGUCCACUAGACUGCCCUGGCGUCGACUGGACCUGGCAGUAGAACCAAGUCGACUGCCAGCCUCUGACGGACUCGGGAAAGGUCAUGGGCGGGAAGGUGCUCUUAUUCCUCACCUGGAUCCCCAGGCCCCCACACAUUUGGACGACUCGGGUUCUCUCAUCACCUGGGCUCGCCUUCUUCACGGUCUGAGAGCGACACGUGAAUAUAUGUUUGAACAAACCCCAGUGCGGUCGACAGCCCAAGAAACCCUCACACAUGGACACGAAUGCAGCAAGAUAGGAAAUGGAGUUUGGGGUAAAGUGGUGAAGCUGCGCUCCGAAGAAAUUCAAGAAGCCACGGAAGAAAAUACUCGGCGGCAAGGAAAACCCACGAUCAACAUGAGUGGCCAAAAGCACACACUCACCCUCUUCUGGCUGUGGCUGCCACUCCUUCCCCGGAAGCCUCGCAGCUCCGUGAGGGAUCAAGCCCUCGUUGGCCAUGUCGAGGAGGUCCUUCUCUGUGAUGGUCGACUGGAUCCAGUCUCCUUGGACCCAGCCCUUCGGCAGACGGGAUCUGGACGAGGACCCUCCAAGGCUGGUGGAUCUCCCCUUCGCCUUCUCCGACGCCGACGCCUUCUUUGCGCGCUCCAGCGUCGCCGUCUUCUCCUUGGCCAUGGUCGCCGGCGAGAUGCGCGAAGGGAAGUGGUGCGGGGGCGAGAGCGAGCACGCUGGGCGGAGAAGAAGGAAGCAGAGAGAGGGAGAGAAUGCUGAGGCGCAGCACAGAAAUCCUCGCCGGGCACAUUUAUAAGGUCUCUUCCGAGUGGAUGACAGGUGGGCCCGUCGAUCUAAUCAUAUCUGGGAGCAGUUACGCAGACUGGAUACGUGGCGAAAAAGGCGGCGCGGAGAUCGAGGCGUCUAUGCCCCGUCCCAUCCGAACGCCGCAGUCCGCCCCGCUUCGCGCGCGUCCCCAAAUUUCGCAUCCCGCGGAAUCCGCGAACAACAAAUCAGUCUGUCAGAUGCGGUGUUUCCGGCGAUCCGUCGCUCGGAGAUCGUCGAAGCCCGAAAGAUCACUCGACGCAAAAAUAGAAUGGAUCGAGUCGACUGAAGGCAAAUUGCUCCCUGUCGACGAAGAGAUUCUUUGGUCCAGGACAACGCACGACCAGGGCACAAAGGUUAAUCGGAAACGACAUCAACUCCUUCCUCACUCGAAGCCUCAAUCCAUUCGGGGGCUAAUGAUGGGGUUAUGUACCUAGGGUAGGGUCAUGGACCUGAUCUAAGUACCUUACCCAAGGACACCCUUAGAAGAAGUCGCCUUCCAGUCGACCAACGAGGGACACACUCGACUGACUUGAAGGACUCGACCACAAAGACUCACUCGACCACCAGAAGGUCAAGAGGCACUCUGCACUGCAACGGCCUGUAAUCAAGUAGACUUUAUGAUAGUAAAGGCACUUUAUGUGGGGCGUUACCAGUAACGCCCCAGACUUAACUCACCUUAAACCCUCUCCUACGUGGGCUGGCUGGGGUCCUGGCGCACUCUAUAUAAGCCACCCCCCUCCACAGGCAGAAGGGUUCGACACCUUGUAACUCAUAUACUCAUAAUUCACUCGACCGCCUCCGGGCUCCGAGACGUAGGGCUGUUACUUCCUCCGAGAAGGGCCUGAACUCGUACAUCCUUUGUGCUUACAACCUCUCCAUAGCUAGGACCUUGCCUCUCCAUACCUACCCCCCACUCUACUGUCAGGCUUAGAACCACGACAGCCACCCCACUCCCCCCAUAACCCCCACCCCUGGUCAAACCCUAACCCAACCACCCGCACUCCCCCCACGCCGUUCCCCCUCUCCCGAUCCAAUCUGGAUCGGGGACGAGACCCCCACUCGCCCCACCCCGCUCGCCCCCCUCGCUCCCUCCCCGAUCUGGAUCNNNNNNNNNNNNNNNNNNNNNNNNNNNNNNNNNNNNNNNNNNNNNNNNNNNNNNNNNNNNNNNNNNNNNNNNNNNNNNNNNNNNNNNNNNNNNNNNNNNNNNNNNNNNNNNNNNNNNNNNNNNNNNNNNNNNNNNNNNNNNNNNNNNNNNNNNNNNNNNNNNNNNNNNNNNNNNNNNNNNNNNNNNNNNNNNNNNNNNNNNNNNNNNNNNNNNNNNNNNNNNNNNNNNNNNNNNNNNNNNNNNNNNNNNNNNNNNNNNNNNNNNNNNNNNNNNNNNNNNNNNNNNNNNNNNNNNNNNNNNNNNNNNNNNNNNNNNNNNNNNNNNNNNNNNNNNNNNNNNNNNNNNNNNNNNNNNNNNNNNNNNNNNNNNNNNNNNNNNNNNNNNNNNNNNNNNNNNNNNNNNNNNNNNNNNNNNNNNNNNNNNNNNNNNNNNNNNNNNNNNNNNNNNNNNNNNNNNNNNNNNNNNNNNNNNNNNNNNNNNNNNNNNNNNNNNNNNNNNNNNNNNNNNNNNNNNNNNNNNNNNNNNNNNNNNNNNNNNNNNNNNNNNNNNNNNNNNNNNNNNNNNNNNNNNNNNNNNNNNNNNNNNNNNNNNNNNNNNNNNNNNNNNNNNNNNNNNNNNNNNNNNNNNNNNNNNNNNNNNNNNNNNNNNNNNNNNNNNNNNNNNNNNNNNNNNNNNNNNNNNNCGUCGCCGAACCCUGACGCCGCCCGGUUCUGCCCCGCCGUCGCCGAGAGCCACCCCAUCCCCGUCGCCACGCCGGACGCCCUGACCUCGCCGACGGACGCCGCUCGCCGGAGCCGCUCCACGUCGCCUCGCCUCCUCAUCGGCUCCGUCAAGCCUUGCCGGACGUCCUCAUCCGCUCCGUCGUCCGACCACCCCAACCUUCCCCCAAGCCCGCUGCCCGUGCCCUACUCCCUCCCCUGUGAGCUCCCCCUCUCCUCGUCCGUCACCGCGGUCACCGCACUCUGCGCACGCCCCUGGCCAUCGCCCUGUACGCGCCCCGCACGUGCUCACCGCGGCCUCGUCUCGCCCGGCGUGCCGUCGCGCCGAGCCGCACCCGCAGUGCUUCUCCUUCCCGGAGCGCUCGCACCUGCCGUGGCCCGCACCACCGCAGCCCCCUGCUACCUCCGACGCGACCACCAUCGCCGCUGCUGGCCACCCUUGGCCUCGCCUUCGGCCCUAUGCCAGCGAGCCCGCGACCGGAUGGCCACGGCCUCGCCCCGCAACCGGGCGGGCUACGGCCUCCGCCCGGCGCCCACACCCGCUAGGCCUUUGGCCCACUGACAAAGGGGCCCCAGCCCCAGAACAAAAAUGUUUUAAAAAAGAGAGAAUUAAAAAUAAUAAUUAAUAAAAAAUUAAUUAAUUAAUUAAUUAACUUAAUUAAUUGUGUUUAACUAACCUAAUCAAUUAACUAAACUAAUUAAACCUGUUUAGUUAGUCAUAGACAAUGACAGUAGGACCCACAUGUCAGUUUGACUAGGUCAACUGAUUAGUUGACUGCUGAUGUCGGCAUGACAUCAUGCUGAUGUCAUUAAUCUGUUUUUCGAAAUAAUUUAAAUAAUUAAUUAAAUUCCAGAAAUUAAUAAAAUCUUUAGAAACUCAUAUCUUUUAAUCCGUAACUCGGAUUAAAAUAUUUUCAACAUGAAAGUUGCUCAGAACGUCGAGACGAUUCCGGAUACGCAACCCGUUCGUCCGCCACACCUCCCUAACCUAUCGAACUCGUAACUUUCCCCCUCCGGCUCCUCUGCCCGAAAACGUGAAACACCGGGGAUACUUUCCCGGAUGUUUCCCCCCUUCACCGGUAUCACCUCAUACCGCGUUAGGGCACCCCUAGCAUCGUUACUAGUCUUGUCAUGCAUCGUUAUGCAUCUGUUUGCAUUGUAUUCAUUGUUUCUUCCCCCCUCUUCUUCCGCUAGACACCGAGACCGACGUCGCUGCUGCCCAGUACGACUACGGUGUUGACGACCCCUCUCUCUUGCCAGAGCAACCAGGCAAGCCCCCCCUUUGAUCACCAGAUAUCGCCUACUCUUCUCUAUACCGCUUGCAUUAGAGUAGUGUAGCAUGUUACUGCUUUCCGUUAUUCCUAUCCUGAUGCAUAGCAUGUCCUUGCUACUACUGUUGUUACCAUUACCUGCUAUCCUACUGCUUAGUAUAGGAUGCUAGUGUUCCAUCAGUGGCCCUACACUCUUGUCUGUCUGCCAUGCUAUACUACUGGGCCGUGAUCACUUCGGGAGGUGAUCACGGGCAUAUACUAAAUACUUUACACAUUUACAUUACUUAUGAUACUGUUCGGAGAUGGGGGCUGAAGGGGCAGGUGGCUCCAUCCCGGUAGAGGUGGGCCUGGGUUCCCGACGGCCCCCGACUGUUACUUUGUGGCGGAGCGACAGGGCAGGUUGAGACCACCUAGGAGAGAGGUGGGCCUGGCCCUGGUCGGCGUUCGCAGAUACUUAACACGUUAAACGAGAUCUUGGUAUUUGAUCUGAGUCUGGCUACUGGCCUAUACGCACUAACCAUCUACACGGGGACAGUUAUGGGCACUCGACGUCGUGGUAUCAGCCGAAGCCUCGUGACAUCAGCGACUGAGCGGCGCGCGCCGGGUUGGACCGCGUAACGCAACUUCCUUUGAUAUGGAGGUUGCUAGGUCUGCUCACCGGCCGCGUUCGCAACGUGCAGGUGUGCAAUGGGCGAUGGGCCCAGACCCCUGCGCCAUAGGAUUUAGACCGGCGUGCUAACCUCUCUGUUGUGCCUAGGUAGGGCUGCGACGUGUUGAUCUUCCGAGGCCGGGCAUGACCCAGGAAAGUGUGUCCGGCCAAAUGGGAUCGAGCGUGUUGGGAUAUGUGGUGCACCCCUGCAGGGAAGUUAAUCUAUUCGAAUAGCCGUGAUCUUCGGUAACAGGACGACUUGGAGUUGUACCUUGACCUUAUGACAACUAGAACCGGAUACUUAAUAAAACACACCCUUCCAAGUGCCAGAUACAACCGGUGAUCGCUCUCUCACAGGGCGACGAGGGGAGGAUCAUCGGUUAGGUUUAUGCUAUGCGAUGCUACUUGGAGGACUUCAGUCUACCCUCUCCUACAUGCUGUAAGACGGAGGCUGCCAGAAGCGUAGACUUCGACAGGAUUAGUUAUCCCCCUCUUAUUCUGGCGUUCUGCAGUUCAGUCCACUGAUAUGGCCCUUUACACAUAUACCCAUGCAUAUGUAGUGUAGCUCCUUGCUUGCGAGUACUUUGGAUGAGUACUCACGGUUGCUUUCUCCUUCUUUUCCCUCUAUCCCUUCUACCUAUGUGUCGCAACCAGAUGUUGGAGCCCAGGAGCCAGACGCCACCGUCGACGACGACUCCUACUACACCGAAGGUGCAUACUACUACGUGUUGCCCGCUGAUGACGACCAGGAGUAGUUAGGAGGAUCCCAGGCAGGAGGCAUGCGCCUCUUUCGAUCUGUAUCCCAGUUUGUGCUAGCCUUCUUAAGGCAAACUUGUUUAACUUAUGUCUGUACUCAGAUAUUGUUGCUUCCGCUGACUCGUCUAUGAUCGAGCUCUUGUAUUCGAGCCCUCGAGGCCCCUGGCUUGUAAUAUGAUGCUUGUAUGACUUAUUUUAUUUAUAGAGUUGUGUUGUGAUAUCUUCCCGUGAGUCCCUGAUCUUGAUCGUACACGUUUGCGUGUAUGAUUAGUGUACGGUCAAAUUGGGGGCGUCACAAAAAGAUCAUGGUGGCCUUGGAGUACUUGAUCUCCACGCUCAGAACAUGGCACUGCUCAUCAAGUUCCUCCACAAGUUUUUCAACAAAAUGGAUAUCCCCUGGGUCAACAUAAUUGGGAAAAGCACUACCAGAACAGAUUGCCUGGAGAACAAUUGGUAGGUUCCUUCUGGUGGAAAGCUAUUCUGAAGCUCCUGCCAACCUUUAAGAAACAUGCUAUGUGCAAAGCAGGGAAAGGUGACACGGUAUUACUAUGGACUGAUAACUGGAAUGGAUUGCCACUCAGCACCAAAUAUCCUGAACUACAUUCUUUUGCAAUCAACCCAGACAUUACACUGCAUGAAACUAUGGAACUAGAGGAUUACAGCUUGCUAUUCCAUAGGCCACUGUCACAACAGGCUUAUGAGCAAUACACUACUCUAGUAGACUUUUUGACAACAAAACAGUCAAUGAGGAGAAAGACAUCUAGACUUACACUUGGUCAGCUCCUAAGUACUCAUCCAUGAAAAUGUACAAGGCCAUAAUGGGUACUAGAACAACACACAUUAUCUUAAGAGACUCUGGAAAACAGCAUGCAGGCUACGGCAUAAGAUCUUCUUUUGGUUGUUACUUCAUGACAGAGUUAGUUCAAGAAGUCUGCUACAGAGAAGAAACAUGUACCUGCAGGAUUACAAUUGUGCACUUUGCUCAGAGGCCACCAGUGAAACGAUUACACACCACUUUUGGGAUUGCCAAUUUGCUACUGUGUGUUGCAGUCCAUCAAUCCAACUAGACUGAGAGGAAUCCAUCAACCUACCAGAGGCCAUUUCAAUGGAAAUUCUCAUUAUGGGAUGUUGGAGCUUGUGGAUGAGCAAAAAUGAUAAGAUCUUCAGAAUGGCUACCCCAACGCUUGACACAUGGAAGUAUUACUUCAAAGAGGGACUGAGAGUUAGCAGAACCUCUAAUUUAGCUAUGUUGUUCCCUAAAACAGGCAUUGGCUGAACCUGUUAUUGCAUUCUUUGUUGCUUUGUACAUAUUAUUUAUUAAAUGAUAAUAUAGAUAAUAUACCGUAGAACAAUUGUUCUACGGUUUCGGCUUAAAAAAACUGGGACAAGUAUGCAAACUGCCCCGCUCCCGAGUGAUUCCACAAUUUGUAUCCUCCUUCCAUUUCCACAUGCUAAAUACCACUUGGCUUCCAACAAGAUGCAGCAGUUAUACACUUCCUAGUGCCGAAUUCAAAUGACACUGGUGCAUAUAAUCUCCAGGGAUUUUUCCUCAAGGAAGUCCAAAAUUCAGUAGAUGAAAAGAGCGCGCAUAAAACACAAACUUCACAAACUUCACAGGUCAUAGUUUGGUAGGAAAGCCACGAAGUGGUUUUAUACUUCAAACAUAGGUGGUACUUAUAUCGGUAUUUCACGCAUAAUCGAAUUAGUACAGGACCGUGAUGACCAGUUUUCUCGAAUCACUGAGAGAUAGGAUAGGUAAAUAUCAAUUGCAAAACCAAAUUAAGAAAAAGGCCACAUGAAAAUGAAGCCACUUUAUUUGCAAACACCCGCAGAUCUGGGCCAUCACUUGGUCCCGAUGAACAGCCCCCACCUCUGCUCACCAGCAGAGCUCCUCUGAAGUUUCGCGUUCCACCCAGUCACAAUGUCAUCAUAGUCCUCCUGAAAAUAAAUCAAACUAACAAUUAGAUAUGCUUGCAUUUUUUUUAGAAUAUUAAGAUAUGCUUGCUAGGAACAUCGAAAGAAUGGAGACAUCUAAACUGCCAGUUCAUGGUUGGGCCUGUUAAGGGCUUACCUGGCCGAAGUCAGCCAGAAAUUCAUCUUUGUUCUUUUCAACUUCGGCUAGCUCCCUCUGUAAAACUUUCAGGAACUGAAAUGCAGAAUUCAGCAUUAAUUAGUAUCCAAGAAACUGCUCUCUACAUCUUUUCGGAAGAAAACAUAACACUAAAAGUUGCAAGCCAAUGAGCUGGUGAGGGAAUAACCUGAUCAGUGCGGUCUUCAGCAACGACAUCAUGGAAACCAGCAUUCUGUAGCAUCUGCAUAGUUUUGAUGUAUAUACAAGUUAAUGGAGAUCCAACAUUUUCUUACACAAACAGUACUAACAAUAUAUCAUCGCAAUUAAGUGGCACCUGUCCAUAAGUCUCUACGUUAUGAAGGUCGUAACCCCUCUGCUUAAUGUAUGCCGCAAACUCUUCAGAUGGUUUUCCUGGACUCCUACAGUAAUCACUGAUUAGGACCUUACCCCCAGGUUUUAGCCAUUUGAAGAAACUUCUAAACAAAG
Molecule: long non-coding RNA, 48703 nt
Filed under: Triticum aestivum (bread wheat)
Lineage: Eukaryota; Viridiplantae; Streptophyta; Magnoliopsida; Poales; Poaceae
Description: long non-coding RNA (TAES_LNC025855)
Source: RNAcentral